This 76477-nucleotide long non-coding RNA is filed under the name Gossypium barbadense (sea-island cotton). The record is from RNAcentral. Lineage: Eukaryota; Viridiplantae; Streptophyta; Magnoliopsida; Malvales; Malvaceae.
GAAAAAGAUUCGAAGUUCCUAUUUUUCAAUCUAAUACAAUAUUUAAUAAUAUUAAAUUAAAUAAUAGGAGACUCAAAAUGAAAGUUUCUUUUUCGCACUCACUCUCCAUCACAUUGGCAGAACAAAAGUGUCAUAUGUAUCGAUAUGGAAAUAUUUGAUAUGUGAAGACAUGAUUUGAUUUAGGUUUCUAUCUAUUAUAGAAUAGAUAGAAUAUAUAGAUAGAAAUGGAUCUUGUUGUGUUCUGGAAUCAAAGAAAGAUAAGAUGUUGAAAAAGGCUCUUAGGUUGUAACUUGAAAUAAAUGUUUCUCUUUAUCUAGAAAGGAAUAGAAUAUUAAUUUAUUCCUAGGAACAAGAAGAUUGAAUCGGAAAUAUCGACAGAUUCUUGUGGAGUCCAAAUAAAUAUGAAAUAAAAAGAAAUCGACUGUUCCAAUUUCAUCUCUAUCGAAUUUUAAUAUCAGAAUAGUGGAUAUAGUCACGAUUCAAUGGGUUAGAUCCACUUACUUUUUCUUUUGUUGAUUUCUAAUAUUUACAAUUCUUUACAAUGGAUUUGAUUGGAAUAAUCUAAUUCAAAAUCAAAACAAAAUAUAUAUUUGUCGCUUCAAGAGACGGCUUAUCAUUAUUCAUAUAAUUUCAACUUUCUUUUAGAAUUCCUCUACUCUAACUCAUUAGAAUAAUAACUUAUUAGAGUUAAAUUAUACAAUUUCUAAUUCAAUUAUUAUACAUAUACAGUUGGGUUUUUAUUACCAAUAAAAACAACAUCCUUAUGUUUCAAUAUGAAUACUACCAUUUUAUAGGAGUUUUAUGAAAAAUAAGUCAAAAGCCCCUUAUCGGAUUUGAACCGAUGACUUACGCCUUACCAUGGCAUUACUCUACCACUGAGUUAAAAGGGCGGUUCGACUCAAUUACUGAAUGAAUCAGUAGACGGAUAAGAUCUAUUUAUAUAUAUAAGUAUAUGCAGUAGACUCAUAGUGGCUAGUAGCUCUCAGGAAUGAGAAUUCUAAUUUACUUAACGUGUAGAGGGUAAAAUGGUUUUAUUGAUAUUGGGUUUGUAUCAAUGCAAUAAAUUGUUUCAAGGCCAAUCAUAAUUGGCUUAUCAGAACAGAACGAAAUUCAUUUAUUUGAUUAAUACAUGUACCUUAGCAAUUNNNNNNNNNNNNNNNNNNNNNNNNNNNNNNNNNNNNNNNNNNNNNNNNNNNNNNNNNNNNNNNNNNNNNNNNNNNNNNNNNNNNNNNNNNNNNNNNNNNNNNNNNNNNNNNNNNNNNNNNNNNNNNNNNNNNNNNNNNNNNNNNNNNNNNNNNNNNNNNNNNNNNNNNNNNNNNNNNNNNNNNNNNNNNNNNNNNNNNNNNNNNNNNNNNNNNNNNNNNNNNNNNNNNNNNNNNNNNNNNNNNNNNNNNNNNNNNNNNNNNNNNNNNNNNNNNNNNNNNNNNNNNNNNNNNNNNNNNNNNNNNNNNNNNNNNNNNNNNNNNNNNNNNNNNNNNNNNNNNNNNNNNNNNNNNNNNNNNNNNNNNNNNNNNNNNNNNNNNNNNNNNNNNNNNNNNNNNNNNNNNNNNNNNNNNNNNNNNNNNNNNNNNNNNNNNNNNNNNNNNNNNNNNNNNNNNNNNNNNNNNNNNNNNNNNNNNNNNNNNNNNNNNNNNNNNNNNNNNNNCUAAGUGCAAAUUGUGAUGUACGAUGCUUUGGGUCUUGCAGAGGGGACAUUACGAUGUUCGAACAUCAAGGUUAGGAAUGAUGAAAUAGAGGAACGGAAGGAGGAAUAGAGAAAUUGGAAUCCCAUUAAAAUUUCGCCAUCUGGGAUUGCUGGGAGCAAACCAUAAUGUGUGAAGCUCCAAACCUUGCAGAGGGGACACUUUGGUGUUUGAGCAUCAAGGUAAAAUGUGAAAAGAAAUGAUGUUGACUGGUCUUUUAGGGUGACACUGUGACAGUGAUAUUCAAGUUCCAUAGAGCAUUACCGUGAUGACGGUUAGUAGGCUCUAUGAAGUGACAUCGUGAUACCGAUAAGGUCCUUCAGGGCGGUACCUCAAAUAAGGUCUAACGUGUAAGAGCAUAUCUCAGUUAUGGCAACUAAGGUAGUCCGUCAGGACAGUAAACACAGGUAGUCCACCAAGACGUAAAAUGUGAGGAUCAUAACUAGAAAGUUUGCAGUUCAUGAAGGAUGUCAAGGGUGAAAGUAGAGUUCGCUGUGUGAUUGGAGCAAUAAGUCGCAAGAAUAAAUGAGUUUGGUGUGUAAAAGGAAUAUAGACCACUGGGAAUAAUGAGUAAUGCCAUAGUUAUGUCUCAACCCUAGAUAGUUUUGAGGAACCUAUAUUUUUAAACCUUGAGUGCAAGUUGAGUUAAAAACUCAACCCUUCUCAAUCUUUGCUCUUAAAAAUACUCUAUAGAAUAGAUGUCAGGCCAUAAACAUUGACGGUUAGUUAGAAAGAACUUGAUGGUUUUAAAAAUGAAUUUGAGUGAAUAGUGUAUAAACUCUAACAAAAAUGCGUGUAGAAUGAAAAAAAUGACUGAACAAAAACAUUGUGAGAGUCAAAGCAAAGCAAGUGAAUAAAAAGCAUGGUUAGUGAUAAAAUCAUUAUGAGUGAAAAGAGCAAAAAGUUUAGAAUGUGCACAAAAUGAAAAAUCAAUUCAAGAGUCUAAAAUGAACUUUUCAUUGUCAUUAUGCACAAUUGCUCGCUAAAUUGUUUGUACGCACUAAUAGCGAGCCAUAUCUUCCACAUUGUUGGAGAAAAAUGGAAUGUGAGAGAAUGAGAAAUAAGGCAUUGAGCUUAACAAUCACUUUUCGGGGAAAAUAGGAACAAUGUCAUAUGCUAUACUGUUUUUAGUGCUUGAAAAGUUUUGAAUCAAGCUUUUCUUUGAAUUCACACCAACUUAAGCAUAAGAACAUUACAAGCCAAAAAGCCUUAUGUGAUCUUAACGUCAUUGUUUACAAAUCCAAAACUUGCAAAACUUCUUGAGAAAUGAAUAAGUUAAAUUCCUUAGUGUAUAGAUACAUCAUAUUUGCAUGACUUAUUUUGAUGGAAUAAUGUGAAGAAUGUUGUUCUUUUGGGAUCACCUCUAUGUUCAUUUACUCUGUAACUUCAUGAAAUAAAUUGAUUUCAUCCCAAAUUUGUGAGUUUAUAAUUCCUCUUUCUUAAGUUGUAUGGUAGAAGAAUUGGUUACACUGUACAUACCCAUCAACUGAUUGUCAAAUCUCUCAAUUGUUCAAGAGUCAUCGAUUUUGCAUGUGUUAGUGUUAUAGGUGUUUGUUUGAAGAGAAGUAAAGAUUUAAGUGCGGGGGAGUUUAAUCUAUCAUAAUUUGAUACGUCAAAUUAGGCUCUCCAAAACACUUGAGGAGCUUAUUCUCAAGCAAUUUAGGUGUCUUUUUUUUUAUAUUUUUGUUCAUUUUUAGUUUUUACUAUUAAUAAACUUUUUUGUUUUGUUCAUUUUGAGACCCAAAUUGGUAAAAUGGUUCCAUAAGGGACCUAAAAAGUAUUUGAGUUGGUGUAGGGAGACGAAAAUGACUUGACCUUGAGUAAAACAACAUUCAACAUGAGUUUCGCGACAUUAAUGCUAUGGAAGUUGCAAUACCGAGUCUGUAAUAUCUUAUUUUUCAGUGGUAACAGAAUAGUGGUUUUGGGACCACAAGUUCUGGCAUGUCGGUUCAUAAAUGUUAUUUAUAUAAUAUUUACAAGGCAAUUAAGGUCAUGCUAAAAUUUGGUUAAGAAAUUUUAAUGUUUAGAAACUUAAUUAAGUAAAAAGGACUAAAUUAUAAAAGAUGCAAAAGUUAAUUUCUAUUUGUUAAAAGGGUCAAAUGAUUAUAGAAUCUUAAAUUAAUGAACUUAUAUGGUAACUAUACCAUGCAUAAUAAUAGUGGACAAUUAUGGGCAUGUUUUUGUUAAUUGUUAAGUUAAUAAAAAAAGGGUAAAAAGGUAAAUAGAAAAUAAAAUGUAAAUUAAGUAAAAAGAAAAAAAAAUCAAUCAAGUGGUCAUCUUCCCUAUUUUGCUUGAGGGAACCGAAAAACCAUUGAAAGGAGGGGAAGGCUUUCGGUUUUGGUUAAACUCACAUGUAUGGUAAGAUUUUGAACCUCAUUUUUAAUUAUUUGUAUGCUUUUGAAAUCGUUGCAACUAGGUUCAACUAACCCGUACCUUUGUUUUUGAAACUGUAAAAAUUUUGAAUUUUGUCAUUGAUUAAUAUUGAUUGUUCUUGAUGUUAAUGAUGAGUUUAAGGUCUUGAUGUUAAUGAUGAAUUUAAGGUCUUGGUUGUAAUUUUGGAUUGUUUUGUAAAGUGAUUUUUGUUAGUUUUUAGUUAAAGAAUUAAAUUGUUAAAAUGUUAAAAAUCUCAUAGUCUAAUUAUGAAAUAGUGAUAUUUUAGGGACCGUUUUGUAACGUUAAAUAUUGGGCUAGAUGUGGUUAUUUUCAAAAGUGACUAAGUUGAUGAUUUUCGGGAUAAGGGACUAAAUCGCAUAAAGUGUAAAAGUUAGGGGAAAUUUUAUAAAUUUAUAAAUAAAAUGGUACAAAUUUUAGAAUUUAUUAAUAUAUGAAAUUUAAGCUAAUAAAUGAAAUAAAUUAUAUUUUAGAUUAAGAUUCUGUUGAUAUACAGGGAAAAUGAAAAGUAAUAGAUUAGUUCUUAAACUUCUAUAAUUGCUGCAAUUCCGCCCAGGUAAGUUCAUAGUAUUUCAAUAUGUUAAUGUAAUUUGCUAGUGAAUUAUAUUAAUGUUCUUUAAUUAAUUGAUGAAUAUAUGUAAGUAGGUGAAUUUAUUUUGGAUAAUUAUAUAUAACUAUGAAAGUUACAAAUAUUUUGCAUCUAUGAAACCGAUAGAGAAUAUUGUAAUGUUUCUCUUGGAACUGUGUUAAAGUUAUUUAAGAAUGAAAUGAAUUUAAGUAUGUAUUCGAGAAUGAAGAAAAUGUUACUGAGUGCACAUACAUGCCCCUGUUUGUACUUCAGUACCCCUAAAUGCAUAUACGUGCCACUGUUUGUACUUCGGUACCCCUGAAUGCACAUGAGUGCUCUAAAUGCACUCUAGUACCUCGGAAUUGCAUCAUUGACGCCCCUAAAAAUUGAGUAUUGAGCUAUUGUAUAAACUGAGUUUAAUUAAUUUAAAGUAAAAGUUAUACUAUGACCUUACUAAGCUAUGUAAGCUUAUGGUGUUUCUUAUGUUGUUUUGUAGAUAAUCAUUGUUGACCGUUUGGAAGGAUCAACCACAAAGCUCACACUAUCUAAUCAUUUUUGGUAGCUUUUUCAUUUCUUUUUGGGUUGUGCCAUGUGUAUAUAGGUUUUGUUUGUAAGUUAUUAAUGUUAAUGGUAAUGGAUAGUUAAGAAGUUUUGUUAGCUUCUUUUGAGUACGUUUUGUAAUGUUAGAAUACAAAAUCUUAUGUAUGAAUGGAAAUCCUAAUGUUUAUUUGGUAAACUUUGUAGCAUGUUCAAAAGGUAAUAAUAAUAAUAUAGUUAGUUUUGGGAGCAUAAAUUGAAAAUUGGUACUAGACAAGGUCUUGUUAGGUUAUUUGAAUGUUUAGUUAUGAAAUGAGGUGCCUAUGGAUGGAACACUGGUUAGAAGCUUUAAGUUGAUUGUUUUGACAUGUUUAAGAAUGUGUUAAGAGUGUUUUGAUCAUAGGACUCCGUAAGCCCAAUUUAAGGCCCAUAAUUCUAUUCAUGCUAUGAAUAGAUAUUGUUUGUUAUAUGUUUAUAAAUUAAUUGUUUAACUAUUUUAGAAAUAAUGUGAAAUGUUUUGUUUUGAUCGAUAACACUCUAUAACCUUAAUCCAAUAAUAAAGAUGGGAUAGGGGUGUUACAGAGUCCUUCUACAUCGAGGGUUCAAAACUUCAACGAGAAAUCAACCUGAAGUUGACUGUUGAGAAAGUCACGACACCGAGGGUAUGAUGUCGCAACACCAAGCCUCCAAGGUCUUGAUAUCCUUGAAGAUGUUGAAGUGAAGGAAUCAUGGUAACCAUCAAUGACAUCGCAACACCGAAGCCUGGGUGUCGCGACACCGAUGCCUGAUGGAGUGAAAAUUGCUAUAGGGUAGCCUUUUGUCCAACAUAUUUGUCAAGAUUUUUAGACUUGAACUCAGUUGAUAAAAGCCACUUUUGGUUGAAAACUAAAAGAGCCAACUUUAUCUUUCAUCUUUUUAGCUUAAGUAAUUGUCUUCUUCUCCAUUCUUAGGUUUAGCUCAUUGCUUUUCUGAGCUUAGUUAAUUUGAUUGUUAGUUUUUACUGUAGCAUUUUCAUCUUCUUUGCAAUCUAGUCUUCAACUUACUUUGUAUUUGACUUUAUUUGAAAGCUUUCAAUAUAUUUUAGUUUAUUUACUUUAGAAAGCAUAAAAAUCUAAAUUUUAUUUUUAUUUUCUCCUUCAUUGUUGUUGUCAUCAUCUUCUUCAAGUAGACAUAGAAGAAAUUCCUAAGCUUUCUCUAACUUGACUCUUGUGUUUAUUUUAAUAAGCUAUUUGAGUAAGUGUUUGAUCAUUAUUUGCAUGAGAAUGAUGUUGGGUAAUUAAAUCUAUGGUGGUUGAUUGAUGGAAAUGUUGCUUGGUUAGUUUUUGGUGCAGAGACUAAAUUGUAAAAAUUGAACUAAAUCGAAUAAACUUCAUAACUUGGAAUUGACGUCUCUAGGUGAAUAUUUAGGUAUGUGAGACCAAAAAGAGAACCUAUCGAGAACCAAUUUGGCUAUCCCGAGUUAGUUUGGUGAGGUCGAGAGAUAAAUCGAACUAAAUAGUUUAAUUUGGUAAAAUGGUGAUCAAGAGGUAAAAUUGAACCAAUUAGAAGUUUAAGUCUUUUAGAUCCCUAAUCCGAAAGCUAAUCAACAACAUGGAAGGCACCCAACUACUUGUGCUCAUUGAAUUGUUUAGUUGCGUAGUUUUUACUAUUUUGCAAUUUAGUCUUUCUUAGUGCUAGAUAUUUAAUUAGUGUAAUUACCCCUUAAUUAUGAUUUGUUGUAAUAUGAUAUUUAGUGAGUAGUUAGCUAGACUUCCUAUUUGCAUGCUUAUUUCACAUUAAUCACUUUGUCCUUGAACUCUUUUGGGCUCUAUCCUUGGAAUACUAAAGGUGUUCCAUUGUAACACUAUAAAUAUUACAAUUGACCUUUCACACUUACAGUACACCGCUAGAUUAUUGUUUGUAUUUGUAUUGAUUCGUAGCCUCGUCGCACGCACGCUGAGGCGCGGUCAUUUUCACAUUAAGUUUUUGAUGGUCUUACAUCAUCUGUGUAGCAGUGCAUAUAUGAGGCACAACAAAUUUCUAAAUCUCUCAUAGUUGCGACCUUUGGAUCAAUGUAGCUCGUACCCGCUAGUUGUAACCUUCUACAGACCUCCAACACUCCCCAAUAUAUAAUGUUGGUUUAAAUACAACGACUUUGUAGUCCACCAACACUUUCAUGCUAUAACACUUAAUGAAAAAUAAACAUUCCAUUUGUUUACGAAUUUUGGAUCUACGAACAACUCUUCUGAUUCAGAUUUGCCACCAACCUGUGAGAAGGUAUUAUAUCUAGGUAUUUAGGGAACUUAGAUGCAAGCACAACACCAGGAUUUAUGCUCAACAUGUGAGCCCUAAGGUCAUUGCGUAUGACAACGCCACGAGUCAAGUUCUUGAGUGAAAAAGGCAUAUACAUUAUCAUUAUCGCCUAUUCCUUUAUUAUCGAUAUCAUCCAUGACCUCAUCGAGAUGGGGGUCACUAAAAUCUUCACCCUGGUGAUCAGAACCACUAUCAUUAUUAAGUUAUUAUUCACCAUUUUCAUCGAUACCAAUCACCAAUAGAUUUAUCUAGAAACCAAGACCCAAAUUAGGGUUGUUAUACACAAUUGGAGCAUUGUGUUGAUUCUUGGCCAAUGUUGAUAUUGCUCCAUAAUCACAUGUCAAGCAUAUGUAUAGACAAUCUCCUAUCAAUAGAUGCUCUUGAAACCUUCGUAUAAAAGUCUAGAACUCCAUAUUGUUGAUUUAAUGGACUGACAUUUUGAACGAGCUCAACAUCUGAUAACUCAUCGAACAAUUCAACUAGUUCAAAUUCCCAGAUGAGCAAUAAAGUGCGAUCAUAGUCUCCACAUCAUCAUCAUCUACAAGUUUCAUCUCCCUAUAUUUGCACAUAUUUGACGAAACUAGAAAUUUGUAGAAUAGUCUGGACAUCCUCCUUUCACACCAUCGUGUAAUUUUCGCACUAACCAUCGAGUAAUUUUCGCACUAACCUUUUGUUUUAUAUCGUUGACUUUUACAUUCUUGUUAAACCUCAUUCCUAUUUGAUGGCGAGAUUCAAAUAUACAACCAACUGUUGUUUGUAAAAUUACCCCAUCGAAGAAUUGGUUAUCUUCCAUACUAAAUCUGUAAAAUAAAUUAAAAAUAUAUUAGUUCCUAUUAAAACAAUUCAUACCAUUUUAUAGCAAUAAAAAUACUUUUUAUCAAACGAUAUAACUUGCAUAUCAUAUUACUAAAUAUCAAAAUAUAAUAUAAUAUAAUAUAAUAUAAUAUAAUUACAUAAAAAUAAUUACAAACUAAUCUUAUAAACUCAAAUUUGAUUUUUGAAGUAUAAAAUGAAAAGCAAAUAUGUUGAUAUUCAAUUUUGAUUUAAAAAAACUCUUUUUUUCUUUCUUGUUUUGUUAAACCAAUUUUGUCUCCUCUAUUGCUAAACAAAAUUCUCUCUCUCUCUCUCUCUCUCUCUCUAUUUAUGUUAAACAGGUUAAAAUUGUAUUUUGAUCGAGGAAGGGGGCAAUAUAUAGGAGGGUGGUGUCGCCUGACAACGUUGCGACACUCAUUUAAACAGUCAGGUUCUUCAAUUUUCAAACCGGUCCCACUGACGUGACAUCAACAUUUUUUAUAACUUCAACAACUUUCUGUGUUAGCAAAUUAAAAAAAAACUUUUAAAGUAGUGCUACUGGUGUGUCAGGUAGCACAGAUAAAAAAAUAUUUUUUAUAACUUCAACAACCUUUUUUUUGUCAGCAAAACUUUUUUUAACAUUUAAAGUGGUGUUAUUGAUGUGUCAGGUGAUACUAAUAAAAUUUUUUUUUAACUUUAACAAUUUUUUUUGUCAACAAAUUUUUUAUAGAAAAAAAUUUUAGCGGUGCGUUGAUUUGUAAGACAACACUAAUAAAAAAUAUUUUUUAAUAUUUUUCUCUCACUAUGUAUACCCGUGUGAAAAUACGAGUAUUUUUAAAAUACAUAUCUCUGACACAGUGGCAACAGCAAUAAAAAUAUAUUCUUUUUAAAAUCGUCAUGAUUGAGUAAAAAGUGAGAUAAUACCAUCAUUGUGUCAAGCAACAUCAAAAAAAUAUCUCAUUUUCGUAAUUAAUAUAUUCCUCGCUUCUAUUUAUUUAGUUUUUGUAUCAUUUUUUUAUAAAAAAAACCUAAUCUAACAUCAAACAUCAAAUGAGCAUUUUGGAUCUUUAAAAUUAUUUAUUUAGCAAAUUUUUUUUAAGAAAAUUGAUAAAAUUGUAGUCCUAAUAAAGGCCAUAAUAAUGGUAGCUGUCCUAAUGAAUUAUCCCUAACAAAACUGUUGUCCUAAUAAUGGCCAUAACAAGAUUGAACAAAAUGAAAAAUGAAGGCCAUAGUUAUUGUUUUCUAAAACUCUGCAUUUCUCAAUCAACAUCCAAGCCAUUUAUAGUUUGGUAGAGUUGUUACUUUUAUAAAACAAGAAAUAUUAUAUAUGAUUUAAAUUCAAAAUAUUAUAAUAAAAAUACAUUUAAUUUUUAUGUUAAUUUAUUGCGUAGGUAUAUCUUGAUAAGUAACCAAAAUUCAUAAAAACCUCUUUCUCUCAAGACAAGUUGAGUGAUGUGCUGAAAAUUAUUGCGUCUACGUACCCAGGGUUUAAGGGUGAAGUGACAUGUUUAAAAAUAGGUCCUCCAAGUAUACGUGUCUAAUUGUUGGAGGUUUAGCGUUGCAAUAACUUGUAAAUUCAAUUGCCAUCCACGACCUAGUCCACCUCUCCUUUUUCCUUCCAAUACUAAUUCAAAUCAUUAUAUUUAUUAAAAAUUGGAUAGUAUAAUUUAUUGCUUAUUAUAAUUGAGUUUUUAUUGAUGUUGUAUAAAAAGAUAACCUACAAUGGUAUUCUAGUAAUAUUUUAAUUAAAUUAACAUCUGUUUGACUCGUAGCACCAACUUAAAUAUAAAUAUAAAUAUAUAAUUUUAAAAAACGAUUGAAAAUUUAAAUACAAAUCUUUUAUCGCCACACUUAUAAUAUCAUUGUCACCAAUAUUUUUUAUACAAAAAUUAAUAUUAUAUUUUUUUCCAAAAAAAUUCAAUUAUACAUUAAUUUAAUCAAAAUUAAAAUAUAAUCAAUAAACAAUGUUUCUUAUCACUAAGCCAAAGUUGCUCAAGAAUCACUAAAAUUAAAUUAAAUUGAAUUUAUUAGUUUUUAUAUUUAUGUCAUAUUCAAUUUUUCAUAUCUAAAAUGUUAUAAAUAAUACAUUAAAAAUUCAUGCAAUAUUAAUUUUGAUAUUUAUGUUGUAGUCCUAUUCCAAGUUAUAAAAUCUAAUAAAGAUAUUUUAACCUUUUCUCCCUAUCUUCCGGAAAUGGGAGUUUUGUGCUGACAUUUCUAAAACUGAUGUCAGCUUUUCCUUGCAUGGAAUUAUGUAGUAACGGCUAAUAUAGAGAGUUAUCAUGUGAAGGACAAAGAAAAAAAGAAAAAGAAAAAUCGUGAUUCAAUUUUCUUUUUCUCAUAAUUUGAAUAACAUAUUUUAAUAUAACUCUUAAAUAUUUUCUCCAAAAUUUUAUUUUAGCGACAAAGAAUAUAUUUAUCAACAACCUUAUCACUUCGCCUAUUGGUAUUGGUGUUUAUUUCUGAACCCCCAACUUGAGUUUUAAUCAUAGGGAUCGUCUGCACGGAAUGUGUAUAUCGGUGACAAUUGAGAAUCCUAUCAAGAAUGUAUGAAUUGUAUGCUUUAAAAUAUUAUAUUUAUUAAUAAAAUAAAAUAAUGGAAAAGUAAUGAAAAGUAGAAAUGAUAAAAAAUUUAUUUAGAUCAAUAAUUUUUUUUCAAAACUAAUAAUUAUUAAUAGAAAAUGUAAUGGUUCGAUUAACUGCAAGAAAAACUAAUUAAAAAAUGUAUAAAUGUAAAUUGAUAUAUAUUUUUUUAUUAAGUGAGUUGGCCUAGGAUUAUAUUUUUUUUACAAAAAAAUAAAUCCUACAUUAUUUUUGAUAAAUUAAUAGGGUACGCCCCGAAUAACAAAUGCGACUAGCGUGACUUGAACUUAGGGCGAUAAACAUCCUUGACCAUUUGGUCAAGUUCAUAAAUAUUAAAUUGAAUAUAUAGAAAACCUUUAAAAACAGAAAAGGAAUAAAGGAAAAGAAAAGAAAGAAAAAAGCAACAACCAUCCCAUUUGUCCAUCACAGAAAAUGACCAAUUGGAUAAAGUCAACAAGUCAAGCCAUCAGUGGGCUACAUUUGAAGGGCAUUUCAGUUAAAUGUAUUGUGUUCGUAAUUUGUUAUGGUAUUCAUAUAUGUAGAAUUAACCUAUUUUGAUUGAUCCAAAAACAUUCAGACCAGAGAUCCCCAUGUCUGUUCUAAAGGAUUUGAGUACUUAUUCAUUCACUGAAUUUUAACACUCUAAAGGAAAUAAUCAAGUUUUGAGGAUUCUAUUAGAUCAAUCACUGAAUUUGGUCACUACUUUGUAAGAGAGAGGCAAAGCAUAAGAUUAUCAGAUACUUCCAACUUUCUGAACUGCUGUUUUUGAACCUUAAUUUAGAAGUUGAGAUAAGAAUCAAUAGCAGGGUUUAAUAUGUCAGAAUAUGAAUUUCAAACCAUUCAUUUGGACGAAAUUUUACUUGUAUUUUACAUGAUUCUCGUAUUAGAUCAAAACUAAAACAAAUAAAAGGUCACAAACAGCCCAGAAAACUGGUAUGCUCUCAUAAUCUAACACUCUUCUGGGAUUCCAUCGAGCACUGAAUUGGUAGCCGUGAAAGGGGAGACAACAAUAACACGAUCCGGUGGGAGGUGCACAAGCUCACGAGCUACAUCUUUGAAGUCGAGAAUCCCUCCAUCUUUGCAUUUCGACAGCAGUCGAGCAGCUUCUUCCUUUGUCAUCUUCAGUUUUACUCUUGUAACAGUAGUUCCUGCUUUCCCAUCGAAGCCUCUGGCGCUGCUACUGAUCUUUGGAUCCCUCUCACGAUCCUUAACUUUUAGCAAUGGUGUUGAGCUUGAUAAGUAAUCACCAUAAUACUUCUUUUGAUUGCUUGGUAUUUUCUUCUUGCUCAACUCAUCUCUGUAUAUGAACUUUGAUGAACUCUUGGAUUCUAUAAAAUCAAGGAUUUCACCUGACAAAACUUUUUGGAAACAUAAAGCAAGAAAGUUUAGCAUCUUUGAGGGGAAAAAACUAAAAAGACAGGCUUUGUUUUUAUGGGUUUUUCUUCCCCCCCCCCCCCUUUAUUACGCUUUUUUGUGCUGAUAAAGCAGAUGUAGGGUGGGGUUUAUAUAGAAGGCCGGUUGGAUUUGUGAACGAAGGAGUGCCUUUUGGAACAUUAAAUUAGGCUAAAGGGCAAUGGGGAGAUAAGUCAAGUGCACUCAAUUGGAACAUUAAAACUGUGUGUCUCAUGAGUCAAAUUGGAAAUUUGGAGUUUGGCACUUAAACUGCUGUGAAAAUGGGUGGUCCCCUAUGCAGGCCACACUGAGAACAACAAUCAGCAAUUGGCAUGCAUGAUUGAUUGCAUUGCUUCCGCUACUUUUUAUGUAUCCUUUUCCCUUCUUUUCUGUGGUGUUUGUGGGAAGUAGAGGAUCUGGCUUUAGGUGUGAUUCACAAGAAAUUCAUUAUUCUUCAUUCAUCAUUUAAGAAAAAUAUAUUAGUAUAUUUGAAAUGAGAAUGACAAAGUGAGGAUCCAUUUAUGUGCAGGUACAUAUACAUUCCUUGUAGACUUCAAGAUUGAGACUUACUCUAUGUAUCCAAAACCAAAGCCCCCAAAAAUAAAUAUAAUCAAAAUGGUUUUUGAACCAUUUUUGGAGGUUAAAAGGCAAUGUUGUUGCAUUUCCACUUCUUCAAUUAGUUCUUUAGGGUCAUCUUUUUAACAUGAAGCUAAAUUAGCCAGUAGUAAAAGAAAAGUUAACUUUCUUUUGAAGCUCUUUUCUUAAUUUAAGAGUUCUUUAUUUGAAUCUUGUAAAAAAAUUAAUUUCUCAAAAUAUUGUUUCUUUAUGUAUCUUGAUAUUCAUGGGCUUCAAGAUCCCUUAUUUUUACAAAAAAACUAAAAGAAUUUGAAAUCCAAUCAUUAGGUGAUAAUGAUAUGAUUUUGAAAUUUCUUCAACAUCCAUAUGUGUUCAGGCUCUCUUGAUACAUUUUCAAAAUUCUUUUUUUUAACUAUUGUGAAUUUAACUUGAGAUAGCAUGAUCUCGACAUACUUUUUUUCUAUCAUUGUGAAAUUAAUUUGACUUGAGACAACCUAUUUACUCCUCCCUUUCCCCUUUAUAUGUUUUACAAACUCCAAAAGAGUACUAUUUUAAUUUUUUUUCAAAAGUAUUUACUCACAAGAUCUACAAAUUCUAAACCUAUUCUGUAACACCCCAUGUCUGACGGGUACAAGGUUUGUCGCAAAGUCCUAAGGUACUAUGAUUGGCAGAGUAGGCUUCGCCCAAGUGCAUCUUUCGGUGUAUAGAGCGAGCGUGUACAAUUAUGUGGUUAAGUUAAUAAAGGUUCCUUUCCAGGUGGCUAUGUUAGUUGGAAUAGAUCAGUGACCAAGUAAAAUUGGUACCGAGAAUAUGAGUUUCUGUCAGGGAUAGUGUGUCCGUUAACUGUGGUACUGUGCAAGUUGAGUUGCAAGGUAAGUUGGUUAGGAACCAACUGAAUGUGAACCAGAAUAGUUAAAAGAUAAGAUAAUAUUCAAUUAGGUUUCUAGGAAGUUGAAGACUUUUGAUAAAACAAUUUAGUAAUGAUGUGACAUUUGUCAAGUUUCAAUAAGAAUUUAGAUUAUAAUAAUAGAUAUUCAAGUUUAGGAAAGGGGGAGUUCUUUUCUUCUUUCUUCUAAGACAAGGUUAUCUGAGGCUUGAGGAAUCGAAGGCAUUUCUUUAAGCUGAAGUUGAGAUCCAGGAUUUUAUCAGUGGUUUCUCCAUGUCAAGGUAAGUUUUAUGACUCUGCAUGUUGUGCUAUGAAAGAGUAGGUUUGUAAGAGUGCAUGAACAGUAAGAUGAAUAAUUAAGACUUAGUAUAAGGGUUAUGUAACAUCCCAAAAAUCAGGGGUUAGUUGAAUCGGGUUUGUGAAUCAAGAGAGAGUGGCCAUGCCUUAAUUUUUGAGAUUAUGUAUGCAUUUUUAAGAAAUAAAUUAGGUAUUGGUUUGUUGUUUAAGUGUUAAUGAAAUGUUUCUUGAAACCUAAGUUCAAAUCCCUUCUCUCGUAUCAUUUUUAUUAUAUUGCAAAUUUUGCCUUAAACCCUAGUAUAUGAAAUGCCUUGUUUUUAAAAUAAAUAUUGCAAAAUUAUUUCAAGAAUGAGGAAAAAGCCUAAUGGUUAAAAGAAAUAUGAGAAAGCAUUGAAAUUAAAUGAGGUCCCAAGUUCAAAUCCUUUCCCUUGUAAAAUAAUUAAAAUUUGUAAAAUUCCUAGUUUUUUUAAUGUGUGUGCCAUCCAUACCCUUGAACCCUAAGUAUAAAUAAAAAUUUUUUAUUUUAUUUUACAACCUUUAAUUCAAUUUUUCCCUAUCCUAGCCAUUCACCUUCUUCCUCUCCUAUUUUCUCUUCAAUUUUCCUUUUUUAUCUCAUUGUUGUCGUCGUUUACACCUCAUAUUUUACCAUAUCUAUCUUCUUUUUGCAUCAAGAUUGUGCACCAUCUCCUUUAGUAUAUUGCUACCAUUUAUCCUCAUCUAAAUAAGCCCCAAAUAUGAAAUCUUAAACCCCAAGAUUGACCUCGAACAUUGCCACGAAAGUGCCAUUGCCGUUUCUCUCAACUGGCUCAGGUAAAAUCUCUUUUCUCUUCAAUUUAUUGAUUAAUCUUGUCAAUUAAAAACCAAAAUAUACUGAUGUGGAAUUUAGGAGAUUUUAAAUGAUUUCAAAGGUAUUUUUUUUCCAGAUUUUAAUGAGAUCUCAAACCAUUUUAAAAUUCAACCCCAAUUUUGGCCACUACGGGUGAUGGUGUGUGCGCUUAUGUACAAGAAAGGGGGAUGUUUUGUUUCUUGGGUCUUGCCCAUAUUUUUUCAACAUUAAAUUGUGUUCUUGGUUCGUCCUUAUUAGCGUUUAAUCACAUGUUAAUUAGGGAGAGGUGUUCUUGAUCAAUCAACCAAUCAUAUCCCACAAAUCAUGAAGCGUAAGUGCAAUUAAGGAUAACUAGUUUGUUAUUUCGACAUAGUUGCUGGGUAAAGGUUAUGAAUUGAUUAAAUGAAGGAAUUUAAUCAUUAAUUAGCUACUGAUUUUCUAGUAUAUUAUUGAAGUAGGUGCUGACCCAAACACCCUAAAUCAUUCGAAAAGGUGAACGAUUGUACGUACGAUUCGUAUCGAUACAGUGUAAGGAAUUUAACUAGUUUGGAUUCAUAAAAUAAUUAUAAUUUCAAGGAUUAGUUUGAACUCAUAAGUGGGUGUUUGGGGGCUGGUUUAAUGGUAAAUUUAUUGAAUUUAUAUUUAAUUUAUAUUGAAUUUUGGUUUUGGUUUGUUUAAGGAAUUAUUAAGGAAAAUUGGAAGAUUCGCUAGUGUGCUGCGAGGAAGCGAAAAAUAAGGUGUGGGUCCUAAACUCAUAAAAUUGUUUGAAAAUAUUAAAUAUAAUGUUAUAUUUGAUAAAUUAGCUUGUUGAUUGGAUUGACUUAAUAGUAAAAUUAUUGAUUUUGUGAGUGGCUGAGCUAGGUAUGUUUCGAGCCUUAAAAGAUUGACAUGUUGGCAAAAUUUCUAGUUUAAUAGUAUGAAUGUUUGAUUGAGUUUGUAAUUGCAUAUUUGAGUUAUGAGAUAUGAGAAUGUUUGACUAAAUGAUAUAAUGUAUUGAGAUAUUAAGCUUUUGUAUGAUAUAAAGACAUGAGAUAUUUUUUAUAUUGUGUACUGAAAAGGAUGUUAUUUAUGCACAAAGAAAAUCUGUAAAGUAUGUGAAAUUGAAUGAUAUUGAUUGAUACCACAACAAUGGUAAUUUGAAAGAUUGGAACACUGUUUCCAUUUAUUGAGAUAUGAUUAUGCAUAAGAUUGUGUGGCAUAUUGCAUAUGCAUUGGGUUGGGAUUUUGUGGUUGACAGAGGAGUUCGUGGAGUACCAGCGGCAUAUUAAGUUUGCAUUAUUCGUAGUCAGUGCACUGCAUCUGGAGUGUUGAGGGGAAUGACAAUUUAUCGCAUUUUUAUUGGCAGCUUGUCUGUAUUUUUACUUGUAGAAUUUUUUGCAUACUAUUAUCGGUGGUUUUAACUACAACGGGUUUAAGCCAAUAAUGUUUUGGAGUUCAAAUGACGGGUUCUGGGAAACUCGUGGUGUGUAGCGAAUGGUAUGUGUAUGAACCUUUUUGUAUUGCAUCAUGCUCACAAUAUAUUCAAAUGUUAUUGAUUUAUGAUAUGUGUCGUGUUCAAUGGUACCGAAAUUAAUAAUUGUUACUCGAAUGAAUGAUGUCCCAUGCUCAUACACCGUUUGACAUCGAUAUUGAUAAUGGCUAUGUAAUUAUAUGAAAAUCCUAUGAUAUUAUGUUUUCUUCUAUUAAAGCUAAUUUGUUUCACUGUAUUCGAUAUUAAUGUUUGUUUAAAUAAUUGUUUGACUCACACUGAACUUUUCAUAAGCUCACUCCAAUAGUGUUUAACUUUUUAGGUAAACCUCGAAUUUAGGAUCAGACUUGGCAUUCAGAGAAUCACCUUGGACCUCGGACUAUUCUUAAUAAGUAUUAUUAAGUCUUUAUUGGUUUUGGCUUGUAAUUUUUAAUUAUUUCUGGUCUGUGGCUUGGUAACUUUUCAUUUGGGGAUUUUUGCAUACAUGGAUUACUCAAGCAUAAUAACCUGAAAAAGCAUGAUAUCUAACUUAAGUAAAAUUUGCAUUGUUUCCUAAUUUUUGCUGUAUUGCAAAUGAACCAUUUUUGAAAAACAAAUCGAUAAGGCAACUAAGUUUCCAAAAUGACUUGAAAAAUGGUUUUUUUCGUUGCAUUAGUUUAACAUCGAGUUUUUACAAAGAAGAUGACAAGAAAACAUUUUUUUUCUUAAACAACACUAUCAAUAAUAAAAUGAGUCUUAAUUAUAGAUUAUCUAAUAAAUGAACUCUUUUAAAAUAACUCAAAGCACAAAUACGGUUUUUCUUUAAAAUGAGUUUAUUUAAAGUAUACAAAAGUAAUGUAAGUUAGCUUAACUAUUUUAGUGGCUAAUGUAGCCUUCUCAAUCUAGCCAUAAUGUCUAGGUCGGGUUAGGGAGGUUACAGGUUAUUUGGGUUUGUGAUGAUGGUAAAUGUUACGAAUGAGUUUUAAUGGUGUUCUUUUGAUUUAUAAGCAGUGGUUGCUGUAGUUCCUUAAUGGAUCUAAAGUUGAAGCUGUUGUUCAUAGUUGUCAGGUGAGUCUCUACAUUGACUCUUGCAUGUAUACUGUUCACAUGAGAUAUCUUUGUAGAAACUUAUUAAACGAUGAAACUGAAGUUAGAAAAGUAUAAUAUGAUGGUCAUGUAACUAUAUGAUUGAAUGCAUGUUAUGGUAUGAAAUCUGAGAAGUAGGUUUGGUCAUAUAUGUGUGUCUUAGAUGUAUUUUAUAGGUAUGUUCUAUUAAGGGUAAGUUGUGGAGUUAAAGAUGAAGGUGAAUUGUGUCAGUGCAAAAAGUGUCAAUCAAGAGAGUUUAUGUCUGUUCAUCGCGGUGGAGUCUAAAGGGGUUCAUCAGGACUAAAAACACGAUAUUUGAUAUGAAUAUUGAAGGAAAAUCCCAUAGUCAUGACACCUUCCAAAAGGAUCUAAAGGACUGUGAUUACCUAAUGAGGUUCUCCUUGUGUCCUAGGACGAUGAUGAGAAAACCUUAUAUAACACGAGUUUAGGAAAAUCCAAAUCGUAAACACAUCAGGAAAUGAAUGCCUAUGUGUCGCAAUAUGAAAGUGACGCUUUUGUGGUGAAUCAUGAAGGGAUAGCUUCUGCGGUGAACCUUGCAAUGAUAGACUUUAUGGCGGAAUAUGAAAGGAAUGCCUUUGUGGAAAACUCCGUAAGGAAUACCUCUAUGGUGCACUCUUAAUAAUCGCCCUUGUGGCGAAUAAUGAAUCAAUAGCAUGUGUGAAAAAUUCUAACAUGAUAGCCUUUGUGGCAAAAACUUGAAAGAACGGUGUACAUGGCGAAAUUUGAAAGCAGUGUCCUUAUGACGUAUCCUAGUAAGGCUAGCGAUGGCGUAACCUAAAGGAAUGAUUCUUGACAGAUUCUGUAUUAAAUUGCUUGGCGUGUUCAACAUGGCUUGUAAUUGUGAUUAGAAAGAUCUAUAAGGCAUAAUUUCUCUAUAAGCUACGAUAAAGUGUUAUACAAUACCAUGAUUUGACUGUGAAUAAUGAAGUGAUGAGAUAAAGAAGAAGUGAUGGGUAAACGGAAAAGAAGCAUUUUCUAAAUAAGGAUUUUUUUAACCAUAUAUAUCAGAAGGAAUGUACUUGUUAUGUAUAGGUGAUCAAACAUGGAUUGUGGAAUGACGGCUUAAAAUUAUGUAUACAAGAGUAAGGGUGAUUCGGUCGUGUGGAUAUCUAUAAAGGAAACGGGUAAAGAAUUUUGAAUGUUCAGAUUGAAAGAGGGAAGUGGUGUAUCAAAGAUGUUGAUGGGUAAGAAAUGAGCUCCGAGUAAGGUAUGGUAUUUGACGUGUAAAUGAGAAUAUAAAUUGAGGGAGUAUUUUCUAGUGGCUAAGUUACCUGUUGAGAUAUGCAGAAAUGACACAUGUAAAUGAUGUUUUCCUCACUAAAUUCUUACGAACUUGUAUCGGUGUGUAAAUGAUGUUUUCCUCACUAAAUUCUUACGAACUUGUAUCGGUGCGUGUUCUGUUACAGGUGAAUUGAUAUGAGUUUGCGCCAAGAGGGACGAUGCUAGGGUUAUGCUUAAGGAGUGGUGUAUUAGGCUAUUAUGUAUACAGAGCAAGUUGACAACGUGUUCAAAGACUAUAAUACUCCUUAGAAAUUCUAUCGGGGCAUCUGUAUCAAAUUAGGGUUUCAAUUUGGAUAUCAUUGUAGUUUAAUUACCUCAUGUUGUAUCUAUAAAUCGUAAAUCGUAGAAGUAAAUUAAGUUUGUGUCUGCAAUUGUGUGGUAAUGCCCAAGAUUCGGAAUUGUUUAAUCGGAUCAGGUUGAGGGCAUUACACAUUCCAAUUAUUUUCAUAAUUUACUACAAUUUGUUCUACAUGUAAGAUUUUUUUUUCGUUGUUUUAUUAUAAGUGUUAUUUAAAUUGUCAUAAUUUGACCAUUGAUAUUAACAAUUGUUAAUAGUAAAUUUGUAAGUGUUUUGUAUUUUCUUUCUAGUAUUAUAUUAUUAUCAAUUGUUGAAUCUGUUAUGCGUUAUAAGUUUUUUUUAUAGUUGAUGUAUUAAAUUAAUGUCAUUUUUGUUGGAUGCUUUGUUAUUAAAACUCACUAAAUUUGUUAACAUUGUUUGUGAUGUUAGUAAUUUAAUAUAUUAUGGCUUCAAUUGAUAAGACACUGAACCAAUUUAUCGAAUUAAUUCACUUGAAUGGAUAAAUUAUUUCAUUUGAUGAUGUCAUAUUUCAAUCAAAAUCUCCUAUGAAGAUGAUAUUUAGGAAUGAUAUCACCUUAGAGGACAUGAAAAGGAGGAUAAUUAGGAAAAUCCAAGCUAGUGAUACUAAAAGGAUACUCAAUAUAAAGUAUGGAUUUGUGAGGCCAAGCAAAAGAGUUGUUGAAUAUUAUGUAAAGGAUCUUAAUGAUGAAGAUCUUGAGAUGAUAGUGUUUGGACACUAGAAAAUUGUCAAUUAGUCGACCUAUCAGUUGAGCUUGAAGAUGUUAACGAUGGAUACAGACUUUUGAUUAUCCAAGUAUAUAACAAUGCCAAUAGUAAAAUAUCAUCCGGAUUUUCCUUCAACCCGCUCAGUUAAGUAUUUACAAUGAUGUCAAACUAGUAGCUGAGUUAAAAGUUAAACCCAUGUUGUUUGAUUAGAUCAAGGAGGUGCAAUCUGUCGAUGCUAAAUUAGCAAAGAAAUUGAAGCUUUCUCAACAAGUUGAUAAUAAGAAUUUUAGUAUUGAUGUGGCAAUCAAAUCAGUGUUUUUGAUAGUGUUGAAUUGAAGAAAUUAAUUUUAUGCGAGGCUCACGAUGGUUCCCUUGCUAUGCACCCUAGUACUGCAAAGAUCUACUGUGACUUGUGAGAAUCAUAUUGGUGGCCCGAAAUAAAAUGGGAGAUUUUCGAAUAUGUUGCUAAAUUUUUGACUUAUUAACAAAUAAAAGCUGAGCAUCAAGUUUUAAUUGGGUUGUUAUAGCCUAUAUCUAUUUUAGAAUGGAAAUGGGAACGAUUUACAAUAGAUUUCAUAGUUGGUCUACCGAAUUCGUCAAAUAAAAGAAAUGCUAUCUGGGUGAUAGUGGACUAAUUGGCAAAGUCUGCUAAUUUUUUGGCGGUUAGAACUGAUUGGUCACUUCUGAAGCUGGUUGAAGUGUAUAUUCGAGAGAUAGUUAGACUCCAUAGUAUGCCUGUGUCUAUUAUCUUCGACCGAGACCCUUACUUUACCUUGAGAUUCUGGAAAUAGUUGCAUGAAUCGUUAGGUAUGAGGUUGAAUUUCAGGACAACAUUCUAUCCUCAGUCUGAUGACCAAUCGACGUGAGUUAUUAAAGUGUUGAAAGAUAUGUUGUGAGCCUGUGUUAUUGUAACGCAUAGGGUUUUGUAAGUGUACAUAGUCGUUAUCAAGUAAUAAGUAAGUAUCGAGUUAUUGUCUCCACAUGGAUUGUAUUUGUGCUAAGUCACUUAAUUUGUAAAAUUAUAUUAACAAUUUGGUAAAUAAAAACACAAUAUAGUUGAUAAGUGGUGAUUAAAAUAUAUUAAACUAAAUGCAAUGAUCCCUAAUGCAAAUUAUCCUAAGUAUGCAAACUAUAUGAAUGAAAUAGAUUUUAGUAAAAUUAAACACAAUUUGCAACAAUUAUAACAUAAAUAAACUACGACAAUUACUUUAAUCAAACUCAAUAUAUUAUCAACAUGCUUAAUAACAUUCGGAAAAACAUUCUAUGGCAACUCGAUCUUUCAUGAGUUUGGAAACCACAUUAGGUCUUUUCAGAAUCCUUUACUUAGUAAAUAUGCAUUUUACUGAUCCUUAUUUACUAAGGAUUUCUUAGCAUUCGUGUGAGGUAAUAGGGACGUGUAAGGUUUGAAACAAUUUAAUCACACAAAUCUAAAAACUAUGUAGAUAAUAAAGCUUGGUCAGAGUUGUUAUGCAACCUUCAAUUUAAUCAGGUCAGGAUCUAAAUUGAGCAUGCACAUUUCAAUUAUGUGUCCAUUAGUUGUCGUCUGGUCAGGAUCGCUCAGCUAAUUCAAGUGCAUUUCAAUCACAUAUGAACCAAAAACAUACUUGAUUUUAAAUGAAAACAUGAUCGAUUGAGGCACAAACAUUAUAAGCAUGAAUCAAAUAAAUAUUAUUUAAUCAAAGCAAUCAUCCUAGCUUAAAUAAAUUUAAGCUAACAUUGUUGUAAACAAUAAUAAAGAACGUAUAGCAAACAUCUUUAUAUUAAAUUAGAGAAAAGGAAGACUAAACCCAAUUCAGAGUGGCUGUCACCCAAGACUCUGACUGACGAGCCGAGCCUCCUUCGUUCCUUUGCUUUGCUAUUUUGCUGAUGGCUCUCCAAGGUGGCCGACCAAGGGUUCUUUAAGAGGUUUAAUUGCUAAAAUCUUUAUGAAGAGAUAAUGCUAGGUGUGGGAAUGGAAAAGGCUAAGAGAAUUUGGAGAAAAGAGAGAAUGAUGUUUGAGGGAUGAUGAAUGAAGGAAUGAAAGGGUCUUAUUUAUAGGUGAGGAGCGGGGGAUAGUUUGCUAAAAAUAAGAGUUUUCAUCUUUUGAAGCAUCUUCCAUGGGUGGCCGGCUAUAAAUUGAGCAAGUUGAGCUGAUUUUUCCUUGAUUUUUGGUCAAUUUGAGUGCCACAACAACUCAAGACUGAGACUCGGUCAAGUGCAAAUCUUCAGGUAAAUCUCUUGUACAAGCCCAAAUUUGCCCGAGGCCCAAAAAACCCAAAACCCAAAUUAAUUAAACCCAAACUAAAUCUACCCAAAUAGUCCCAUUACUAACCCCAAAACUAACUUAAAUGGCCCAAUACAAUUGGCCCAAUAAGCCCAAUGGACCCAAUCACCAGUCAAACUAGGGUUUCAGAAAAUUAAAACCCUAGCCUACUGCCCUCAGCCGCCUAUGCUUCCUCUGACAUCUUCUAGUCUGGCCGCCACUCGUAGCCUCUGCCACCGCCACCUCUGACGCCGAGCCGCCGGUCAAUCACCUACUUCAUCAACGUCAACACCUGCAAACAAGAGAAAAAGCAAUAGAAAAUAAUAGCAAAAAUAUUGUAAAAAAUGGCUAUAAAGCCAUAACCACCACUGUAAACGGGGUCGUCCCCCCCCCCUCCUUCACGAAUAUCAAAAAUAAAAAAAAGAUUGCUUUUCUUAUUCUUCGUUUUUUUCUUUCUUUUUCGAUUUAUUUAUUUUUUGAAAACGUUCUAAAGAAAAACUAUUAAUAAAUAAAAGAGUAAAAGAGAGAGUUUUACGUGAAUCUGUUUGCGCCGUCGGUGGCCUUUCGUCGGCGUCGGAUUCGGACUCAGGAAGAUUCGAGACGCCUUCCCCUUUUGUGGCCUCUUGGCUUAAAAAGGCUCUGCCUUUAUGCAUGCCGAAGCCAGGGUUAAAAAAACCCAUUGCGCACGACUCCGACUACCGCGCCUGGCAGGGCCGAUGGUGGCUCGUUCGGCCAAGGGAGAAAGGGGGAUGAGAGAACUAUUUUUUUCUCUAUAGUAUUUUUUAAAAACACUGAAGAAAUGAAUUUUAAAGAAAAAAAUUGCUUUAAAUAAGGGUUAUGAUACGGCGCCGUUUUGCUGUUUAAAGUCAGGGACCAAAACGAUGUCGUUUUGGCCCUGACCCACAUGGUGACCCGACCCUGGGGGAAGGAUUCGCGUGUUUUCGUUUAUGGGGACAUUUUCUCAAUUGGCCCCUUCGAUUUUGCGGCAUAUUCGGCGUGGUUUUCUUUAUUUUAGUUAAUUUUGGCCACAGAAUUUUACAUCUGUUUCAAUUAGGUCCAUAGACCAUGUGCAUGCGUUGCACUGGAACAGCACCGUUUGACCGGCGCGAGGAAAUUUCCCUUUUGGUCCCUUCUCUUUUGCGCGCCUUACCAUUUAAUCCUUUUGGUUAUUUUUUUUCGUGCCCAAAAUUUAAUUUCGUUUUCAAUUUAAUCCCAUUUUUGCUGUUUAGGUUAUUUUAUUUAAAAUUACUUGUUUUAAUAUUAUUAAUAUCAUUUUACAAUAUCAUUAUUAUAUUAUUAUUGAUAUUAUAAUCAAAUAUUUGUACAUUAUAUACUUAUAUUCUAUAUGUUGUAUCCUAUAUACGUAUUAAUGUAUUUUAUUAUUACAUACAUAUUUUAAAACAUAUAUAUAUUAAUAUAUACAUAUAUACAUAUUUUACGAUAUAUAUAUAUAAGCAUACAUUUAUCCCUUUAUUAUUAUUUAUGUACAUAUUUAUGUAUUUAUAUACUUCCCUAAUAUAUGUUAUAUUUUAUACCUUAUAUUAUGUAUGUCCUAUAUAUAUACGUUUUUAAUUUUCAUAUAUAUAUUUAAUAAUCUUAUAUAUGCAUAUUUUUAAUUUUCAUAUAUACAUGCUUACAUAUUCUUAUAUACACAUACAUAUAUUUUUAUACUUUAUAAUUCUAACAUACAUACAUACAUACAUAUAUAUAUUAUAAUUUUAUUCAUUACUAUUGUUUCAUUUGGUGUUCAUUUAUUUAUUUAUUUACAUGCUCAUUAUUAUUAUUAUUUACUUAAGUGCUUUAGUUUUUAUUUGUUUAUUUACUUUUAUUUGUUGAUUUCUUUUUAUAUAUUUGCCAUCUUAUUUAUUUAUCUUUUCUUAUUUUUCUUGUAUUAUUUUAUAUUCAUUAUUAUUAUUUUACAUUCAUUUUUUACUCGGAUUCGUCAAAAUACAGAAAAUUUCAAAAUAAAAAUAAUAUUUGAUAUUUAGGAUCUUCGAGAGAAUCGAGCCCUAAUGUAUUGGGUUCCGAUUUCCUUCGUUGAAUCUAAAUAAUCGAAGCUAUUUUUUAAAAAACAUCACUAAAAGCUCGUUAUUGGGAAUUCAAUAUGUCGUGUCCUAAUACAUUGGAUAUGACAAGUCAUUUUUUUGAGACGAGAAUUUUUCUUAUAAAUGCAAUAUUCAAUGUUUAAUAUUUUGAGAAAUUGUUCUCCAACGUAUUGGGUUGCAAUUCUUUCACAUGACUUAAACAAUUGGAUACCAUUUUAAAUUUUACUGCGUAAGUUUUUAGACAAGCUCAUUUCGGAAGAAGUAAAAUAUAGUGCAUUGGGUGUGACAUUUUCUCUAUCUGAAAUGAGAGAGUCUUAACGAGUAACUUGAUUUAUAUAAGUUUCAAAAUAAGGAUCAUAUUCUAAAAUUCUUUUAAGUUCUCAAUUUUUGACAUCAAUACAUUAAUUAAUCAACUAGGUACCAAUUUUUGGGCGUUACGAGGGUGCUAACCCUUCCUCGUACGUAACCGACUCCCGAACCCGUUUUCUGAUUUUCGUGGACCAAAAUCAUCGUUUUGAUAAAAUCAAUUCUUUAUUAAAACAACCAUUUUUUAAGGUGGCCCGAUCACACCUUAUCAAAAAAGAUUGGUGGCGACUCCCAUUUUCGUUUUCAUUUUUCAAAACCCAAGUCGACCCCGUUUUCAUCCAAAAAACGGUGUCAACAUCUCUAAUUUUUCAACUCUUCAAGGACCUUGUGCAAUUAAACCAAAGAGUGGUUUAUGGACAGCCAUGUGCAGCAAAAUUUUGGGGUUGGCUUGGUCUCUAAUUUGGACGAUUUUGUAAUCCAACAAAGCUAUCAGACCUGUCCAAAAUAAAUCAACAAGUUAAAGGACCAAAGAAUAAAAUUUAUCCAAUUUAAUCAAUUUAUUAAAAACCCAAAUUAUUAAUGAAAUAUUUUAAAAUGAAUUGUUAAAUAUAAUCUUAUAUUUUAUUAUUUAAUUUAAUCAUGCAUGACCCACUUUAUGUCUUAAAAAAUAUAAUAUAUUCAAAUUAAUAUAAAACAAGCCAUUUAUUGCAUGAAAACUAUAUAAUAAAGCAUAAAAUCACAUUUUAAUAAUUUCUAUGUCCUAAUUUCAUAUUUUCACAUAUUUCAUUAAUUUAUUAAACAAUUACUUAGUUUUAACAACAGAUUUAAGUAAAAAGGUGAUAAAUUACAUAGGAAAAAUCCUAUAUAUUUUUCUAUUUACAGUUAUUGAUUUUGAAUCUGGCUUAGAACAUUAUUUACCAUUAAUUGAAUUUGUAUAUAAUAAUAGUUUCUAAUCGAGCAUUCAAAUGGCUCCACACAAAGCAAUAUGUGAUUGACGAUGUAGAACGCCCUUAUGUUGGUCAAAAUUGAGAAAAAUAUCAUUGGGCCAGAAUUAAUUUAGGAAGGAGAAGAUGUAGCUAAGCUGAUCAAAGAUAUUUAUGGAGUAAGUAAAUAGAUGAAUUGAAAUUUGGUUAAGUAAUUUAGCCAAAAAAGUGGUUAAUUAAGGCCAAAGGACUAAAUUGUAAAAGUCCAAUCGCUAUAGAUUUUUAAUUAGGAAAGGGCUUUGGGACUUAAAUAAAAAUUAUCCAAGGGACUAAAAUGGUUAAUAAACCAUCUUAAAAUAGAAGUUAAUGGACGGUGAUGAUGGAUGUCAUUAGACUAAUUAAUAUAUAGAUUAAUUAAGUUAAAUCAUGAUUAAGAUUAAUUAAUUAUGAUUAAACAUGUUAAUUGAAGUAUAAAUAGAAAACAAAAUGGAAAGAAAGAUAAAGAUGCUAUCAUCUUCUUCGUCAAAUUGUAGAAACCAAAGAAAAAGAAAAGAAGAAAGCUUUGGGUUUUCAAGCAUUCGACCAUUCAAUUGCAAGUAAGUCUCUAGCCAUUUUUCUUUGAUUUUUAUGGAAAUUGAAUCAUGGGAGCUUGAUUCAGCUAGCCCAUGUAUCAAUUUUUUCGAUUGGUGAAAUUUUGGUAAGUUUUCAUUAUGGAGAAUUUGAUGAAUUAGGUGUGAAAUUGAUAGAAAUUAAGUUUAGAUUAGGAAAAUGACUAAAUUAUAAAGCUUAACAAGAUUGAUUGUUAGUUUUGUUACAUUAGAGAUCAAAUUGAAUAAAAUGUAAAACUUUUAGAAAAUUAUGGUAAGAUUAAAAAGUAGAAAGUCCCUAAUGAGUGAAUGUGAAAUCAAAUUUUAAUCCGAAGCUUGAUAUUGAAAGUUAUGCUUUCCUAAGUUUAGGGGCUAAAUUGAAUAAAUUGUAAAAUAUGUUUGACUUUGUAUUUAAAUGUGAUUUGGGUAUAAUUUGAUAUUGUGUCAUUGUUGAAUUAUUAUUUGUAACUACAAACGACGACAAGCCAUCAAGAGGGAAAGGAAAUAUGAGAGUUGACGAUGAAAGAUGCGAGCUUUCGAUUUGUAUUUCUAUGAUUCAUGAUCAAUUUAAUUAUUGCACAUUAUGAUAUUUUGCAUAAUAUGGUAUUGAGGUGAGUUGACCAUGAUUAAUUGAAUUGUUAUGUUUGAGAUUAAUUAUCGAGAUAGAGGACUAAAUUGAAUAUAAUAAAAAAUAGCAUGACUUAAUUGAUAUAUGAUAUUGGUAUGAAAUUAAGCUGAAACUUGUUAUAUCAUAUGAUUAAUUGAUGAUAAGUUGAGUAUGUUAAAGUAUGAAUUGAACUAUGUGAUUAAAUUGAAAAAUUGAUUAGGCUAUUAAUUGUUUGGACAGAGUCGGAUAUAGUUAGCAUGCCAUAGGAUAGAUUGAGUAUGGAUUACUUCGACUAUAUGUCGAUGAGUGCUAUGAGUAUUUUCCUUCAGACGUUUUAAUGAGGCACUAUGUGCCAAAUUUGGCGUGUUGGUUGGAAUUCGUAUAUCCGUUUGAGUCUGAGUCUGGUUAAUAGGGGUAUAAUAUGUAAAAUUGAAUAAUUGGUAUAUGAAUUGGAUUGAUAAUGUGAUCUGGUGACAAAACAAUGAAUUAUGAUAUAUAAAUAUCAAUAGAAUGAAAAAGAUCAUGCAAAUCGAAUAUACGAGCCUAGAGGGUCGUUUUGAAAACAUGAUGAAUCAAUUGAUUCGAUUUGCAAAUGACAUGUUAUUAAGAUCAAAUCUUGUGAAUCAAAUAGAAAUUGUAAGCAUCAAUGUUACUAGUAUUUUAACAUGAAAUAAUCUUUAGAUUAGUAGAUUGAAUUGAUGUAUGGAUUGAUUCAUAUGAUAUAUUUGGUAAUCUUAGUUGUAUAUGUUAAUUAACAAGUUGAUUGUGAAUUGGUAUGAAUGGUAUAUUGGUUGGAUAGAAAUGGGAUUCAAAUUGAAUGUAUGCAAUUGACUUGAAUCAUGGAAAUGCCACUGAGCUUUAUUGCUCAAUGUACGAUUUAUUUCUUUGAGCAUAGGUAUAGGUACAACUUGAGGUUUUGAGAAGUGAUUCCAACAUCCAACCAGAGAUCCUCGACUCAACAAUAUUUAUAUAGUCUCUCUUUGGUGCAUUAUAUGACAUGUACCUAGGUCAGGUCGGUUUUACAUAUUGUACGAACUUGUUAACUUUAGAAGUUAGAAUUGGUAAUUUGGUAUAUUUGAAAUGCAUGAGGUGUUUCAAAUUUGUAACCAUAUGUAUUUGCAAGUAUGCCAAAGGGUUAAAAGGUUAUCAACAUGGUAAUUACUUGUAUGUUUGAAUUAAAUGGUGAAAUGGAAGUAACAUUUAUGCAUAAAUUGUGUUAAAUGCUAUUAAAUGCUUAGGAAAGAGUAUUAAAUUAUGGUACUUUGCUUGGUUGAAUGAAUGGAUGGAAUAGGUACCAAUUUGGACCAUCUAGAAACAGACAGUCAUGUCGCAACGUCGGACCCUUGUUGUCGCGACAAGACCUAGUCAAUGAGUUGUGUAGCAACGAGGAACCCCUGAAGUUGUGAUGUCAACUUGACAUUUUGAAUUCUUUACAGUUUGGUCCUAUUUUGACCUUAGGUUAGCAAAAAAGCUUUCAUAAGCUCGUAUAAGACUUGAAAAUGAUUACUUAUUGUAUUAUAUGCAUGUUUUACUUGUAUUUGAAUAUAAUUAAUCAAGGUGUUACACAAAAACACCUUAAAACUUGAGUGACUAUUGGAGUAGUUUACCCCCAAAAUGCUUUUCUUGGCUCUAUAUAUCCAAGUUGAAAAUUUUUAACUAAAAGGGAUUAGGAUCAUCAAGUCAUCAACAAUUUUUCUUUGGGUUAAUGCAUUAUUUGGGGCCAAAACUUGACAAUUGUUUUCACACUAUGGAUUGAAUUUUUUUUGUCCAAGUUAAUCCUUGAUAUUUCAUUGAAAACCUUAAAGCUCAGGGACUAACUUAGAUAAAAAAAAUCAAUGACAAAUUUGGAUAAAAAAAUUAGACUCUAAUAUGGAAAUAAUUAUCAAAUUCAAAGAUUAACUUAAAUAAAAAAAAUUCAAAAUCUAAUAUAAGAAUAAUUAUCAAAUUUAAAUAUGAUUUAACCAUUUCAUAUAUAUAUAUAUCCAAGUUUAAAAUUUUAAAGUAAAAGGGAUGAUGAAUGUCAUAGGAAGAAGCCUGCAAACUCUAUAAGCAAUGAUUUAGACUAAAUAUGUUUUUUUGCAUCUUAGACUAGAUAUGUUAAAUACAUGAAAAAUAAAAUAAAUUAAGAGAUAAGUUGAGGCUGACUUGGUCCUACUAAUUGAUAAUCUAGAAAACGCGUGAUCUGUUUAAUCUAAGUCAAUGUCGUUUGGUUUUGCAUCCUGAACAUAGUAUCAAUUAACCUUCCAAAGUGCAAAUCAAUCUAUUCUAUUCGCUUUACCCUUUUUCCUUUCGGAGGGUUGGGCCUACUUGGCCUUCCCUUGUGUCUUGAAAUUUAUUUCUGAAAGUUGACUCAACACCCAACCAGAUCACCAUCAUUUUCUUGCUUUUUAUUUCAUCAAUUAAAGCAUUUAUAGAGGUAAAUCCUAAAUCACUUUUUAAUUCUUCUGUUAAUUUGAUAGAGUGGAACGAAAAAUUAAAAAAAAAAUUGUAAAAUUGAAUGAGUUGAAAAAAGAGAGGAAAAUUAAACAUUUUUUUCUUUUUAUUAGUGUGUUUAAUAAGAAAAAAUGAAAAAAAAGUUGUAAUUUUGAAAUAAUUUACAAUUCUCUCUUCUAAAUUAAAAUGAUAAUUUAUGUUAUUUUCAAUCAAAUAUAUUUAAAUUUUAUUUCUCUUCUAUCUUCAAAAUUCCCACUCAAUCAUGCAAGGGUUCUUAAAUUGCAAGUUGGAAAUUACUUUCUAACAGCAGUUUUGUAGUUGUUAUUAUCCAUCCUCUCACUAUUCAAGACUUAAAAUCUGGGUUUACUAUCAUCCGAAACUUUCCUGUCAUUUUAUAUCUUUCCAGCUUUUGUACUUUUUAGUUACUCUAUUUUUAUUUUUUAAAAUAUAAUUAUUAAUAAUAUGAAAGUUAAUAAAUCUUAAUUGAUAAAAUAAAAAAAAGGUAAUAAUUCCUGUUUGUUGUUAAAUUAAAUUAAAGUAAACAAUGUUCUCGUAUCGUAUUUUAUUCUUCUGCAGUUAUGCAUUUCCUCCGUUCCAAAUCAAAACAAAAUGAAAAUGUAGAUAACGAAUUCCAAAGUCCAUAAAAAAAAAAAAACUUGUAUACAUAGGUUUUUCUGGGAAACCCUAACACACAUUUGGAAUCAUAUUUCCUUUUAUUUAAUAUCACAUAUUAAAAACAUAAUUAUCCGUUUAGAGAAACAUGUGGAAAAUUAUUAAAACAUUAUAUCCUUGCCAAAGGAAUAUUAACUUCUAUGUUUUAAUUAUAAUAAUUUCGGUAAACUAUAUUCAGUUAAUAUGAAACUUUUAUAAGAAUCAAAUUCAUAUAUUAAAUUUAACUGUGCUCUCUAUUCUUGUACAACAAAUUUGUACACGUAACGCAUUUAAUAGUUAACUGUCAACUUAAAUUAAUUCAAUAAUUAAUUUAAAUCAUGUGAUAACUAAACAUAAUGCCAAUUGUGUUUGGAUUCUGUUUGCUUCAAAUAUAGGGUGUGACCCUGUAGGCUCUUGUAAUGUUGGUAGUAAUAUUACAACAUUUCUAAUGUUACAAGCAAUGAGUGAAUCUAGCAAUGCAUCAUUGCUACCCAAGUUACAAGAAGUCAUGAAUCGAUAUAACUUUUCUGUGAUAAAUUUUUAUAUAUUAUAUCCUUUUAUCCUUUAUAUUUGGAAUGGACACAAAUCAUGGAACAAUCACACUUGUAUAGUCCAAUCUCAUAUUUCUUAUAAUUGUGAGUAGACUACAAUAAACAAAUAAGUCUAAUAUAUCAUAUCAACUUAUUUUAGCUUGACCGUGCAUUUCUAGUCUCACUCCAUCAAAUAGCCUAAAAUAUUGCUCCCAUCGUGUAGGAGGGACAAAUUUUAUCUUGAUCAAUCAUAUCCCACUACAUAGAUUGUGGCAUAUCCAACAUCAGUCUUUAUAGUACAACCUGUUACGGUAGAUGUUUGACUGUAUCAAAAGAUAUGACUCACGAUGUUGGGACAAUGAUGAACUCAAGUCUGAGGAUCGUAUACACAGUUAUCACUACGAGUAAUGUUGUGACUAUAACAUAAUAAUUCAAGAAAUAUACUCAUAAUGGGUCAGUCCAGUAUGUUAUUCUCCAACACAUACUCAUGUAUUGAUUUUGACAUCUUUAUGUCAAUGGCAACACUUUUCCAUCAAUCAACUACACAUUAGUUUUAAUGCAUUAUUAUUGUCCAAGCCCACAAUAAUACUUGACUAAGGACCUUUUAAGAAUACUCAUAUCAUUCUCAGGACUUUAUUAUUAAUUAGUUUAUUUACAUACACACAAAAAAGAAACUAAAAUAACAAUGACAAUGCCUUAUAUUAGCAAACAAGGUAAAACAAGUAUGUGAUUACAAUCAUAUCAUGAUUGGUGUUUGGGUCUACUCUAACAACUUGAUUAUAGGAACGGAAAACUAUUGAUGAAGGCAUACUUGAAGAAUUAUUUUGUAAUGACUCAAUUUUUGUCGAUGUUAGAAAAAUCAAUUUCAGGGUUGAGUAUGAAAAGGCUAGAUGCCUAAGAAGUUGAAUUGAGAGAAUUACGGGCCAAAAUGAGUAAGUGUUGAACAUGGUGAUGAAUGAAAUAUAUAUAUUGACAAACAAAUUGAGUAGUCCCAAUUCUCAGAGCGUUGUGAACUUAUAUUGAUGUAUAGAUUUGUGUAUCCAUUCUAAUGCUUGUAGUCGAUUAAUAGAGGCCAACCAAAGUAAAGAAAUGAGAAUAUGGUAGUUAAUGGGCGUCGAAACCACCAAAUAUAAAUUUCUAUGACAAAAUAAUAGUAAUUAGUAGUAUAGAGUAGUAGGGUCGAAUCCACAGGGAUUGACUAUCUAAUUUUGCCUUUUUUCGUGACCAGAGUCGCUGUCGCGGUCAUAGUUGUGCCCAUGACUUAUGUGUAGAAAUGCUGGAAAUAAAAAUAAAAAUAAAAAUGGAGGGUUUAAAUUGAUUAAGAUAAUAAAAUAAGCAAAUACGAAAACUAAAAUAAAAACAGAUUUGAAAAUACAAAAAUAAAUUUAAUAAAAUAAAACAAAUGGAUAAAUAAAAUAUUUUUUAAGCGUAGCCUUAGCCUCAGUGUACUCCAAUCUUGAAUUGAUCCUUGAAAUAGAUUUUCCCUUCCAAGUAAUAAGCUAGUUAUUGCGACCAAGAACGUACCGAUCGCUAACUUUUCCUUAUGUAGUCAAUCCCAGCACAACCUGCAAACCGACUCUUGCCAAAUUUCUAAUUGCGAUACACGUGUACGCAAUCUAAGAUUUCGACAGCCUUGCGAUCUAAAAUGCUCAACUCGAAUUAACGGCCUCAAUUGCGUGGGCCGUUUAAAUUCGAUCUCUAUCUCCCUUGACGGAAUCCAACUGGCUUUUGCCACCUAGACACACCAAUUUGAUUGCAGGAAUUCGAACACAACACGACUGAUUCGUCUUCCCAAUUGUACGCCAAACAACUCCAACCCAACGUGCACUUUUUGAAUCGGAGCUGAAUCAACUUUAAAGGAUGAAUUUGUACUAUCUCAUAUACUGGAGAGAUAGAAAAUACUGCGUUGAGAGGUUUUUUGACCGGGCUAUUAUCUCACAAUUGUUUUGUUGGAGCAAUUUCUGGGCUAAAGCUAAAAAGGGUUUAGUUAAUCAUUGAAAAUAUCAUGCUUUGAAAAUAGAUUUGUGGAAUUGUGGGUGGUGGAAAGGGGAAGGGCCUUGGAAGACAAUUAAAUCAAAAGAUUCAAAGUAAAAAAAAUGAAACAAAAUAGCAAUAGUAGGAUGAAGAUUGCACAGGAAAGGGGAGAAAAAAAAGAAUUUAUUAAAUGCCAAGGUAAAAAAGUGUGUUCAAUUGGUUGUAGCCAUUAGGAAUUUAUACACACUUUUAGUGCUAAAAUUUAGCUAGAUUUUUCCUAAAUAUUAUCACUAAAUAUUAUCGCCAAAUAAUUCUAAAUAUUAUCACUAGAUAAUUUAAAAUUUAAAAAUCAAAUUUAAACUAGAAUUUAAACUAAUUACAGAGUUGUAACAAUAUAAAAAAUCCUUCAAUCUUUAUCCAACCACUUGUAAAAAAAUCUUCAACCCUUCAAUCUUUAUCCAAUCAUCUUUGAAUAUUCAAUCUUUCAAUCAAGCCCUCCACUUUGCUUUUUGUUCCAAUUUAGCCACUUUUUGUAAGAGUUUGAAUUUGGCACAUCAACUUCAUUCCUAAUAAGAAAAAUCCAAAUUUAAUAGCAUUUUAUUUGAUAAUUAGCCAAAAAUAAAUAUAUUAAAAAUAAAAAUUUAUCUUGCUAUCGAAUUCCCCCUACUUAGCUGAUGCUUGUCCUCAAGCAUGAUAUCUACUAAAAAUAAUUCAUCAAUCCUUUUCAAAACCAAAACCCCCUUUCCUAGUCAAGCAUACUACAAACAAUAGGUGAAUAAAAAAUAAACAACUGCUAAACUCAAUCAAUAAACAUUUUAUAAAAUCUCGAACAUUAUGUCAAAUUCAACUAUUUCACUAAAUUUAGGCUUAAUCAAACAUGCAAAACGAUCAUACCCAAUAUAUACUUUUAUUUAUAUCUAUUUACAUUUUUUUUGUUUAUUGUUUAUUGUUUAUUGUUUUCAAACGUAGUCAAGUCUUUUGACGUGAAGUGAAAUGACAACCAAGCACCUCACCCCGGGUACUCAACCCGACACGUUCUCUUUAUUUAUUUUUAACAAAUUCGAGACAUAAUCAAAUCUUUUGAUGCGAAAUGAGAUGACAACCCAAGCACCUUAUCCCGGUUACUCAAUUUCACAUUUCCCUAUUUGAUUUAUUUCUUCUUUCUCAAGGCAGCUCGAUUAGCGGAGUGUUACAAGCUUUGGCUCGUCACCAAACCUUUUGACGCGAAAUGAGAUGACAACCCAAGCACCUCAUCCCGAUUACUCAACUUGGUCACAUUUCUGAAUCUUCACUCUUAACCAAGAUAUUAGCAUAUUUAUUUAAAAUGAGUACUUUCGUUAGGCAAGUUAAAAAAAAAAACCAACAAUGAAAUAUUGUCCAAGGCAUAGCAUUUUCAAUUCUACAAAAUAUUCAUUGAUCAAGCAAGCAAUAGUUAUUCAUGAUUCACCCACUUAUUUAAAUAAACUAAAUAUAAGAAUUAGAGGUUUAUUUUUGAAAUGACUUAAGAAAUUAUUCUUGGCAAAACAUAUGCAAAAAAAAAGUAUGGCACGAUCACGAUCCCCCCUCCUUAGCCCAAAUUGCCCCCAAUGUGCAAAAAGAAUAACAAGAGUGGAGAAAAGUGUACUCCUCAUUUAUUUUAAUGGGCCGGAGGACGGUGGAAGUCACCACUUUGAAAAAUGGUGAGGAUGCUUGAGAUGUUGGCUUCCAUUGUUUCGAGACGAGCUUUAAUGCGAUGAAGUCGUUCAUCUACAGUUGAAGGUGGUUGCUCCUGGAAAACAACAUGAUCAAACGAAUUAAAAUAAUAUUUUAUUUAAUUCUCAAACUAAACUAGAAUUCAAAAUAAAAUAAAAUAAAAUAUAAAAUAAAUGUGGGUUGCCUCCCAUAAAGCGCUUUUGUUUAACAUCGUUAGCUCAGCGACCUAAAAAAUUUAAUUGUUCGGCUCCUAGAAAAAUAACUCCUCCACCACAUGUACUUGAAAAUUCUCGUAAAAAGGUUUUCACCUUUGACCAUUGACUUUAAAAUAUUUCUCAAAUUCCUCACUUUUAAUUUCAACUACAUCAUGAGGAAUUAUUUUAGUAAUAGCAAAAUGAUCAAGCCAUUUGGUUCGAAGCUUACCCAAAAAAAUUCUCACUGUAGGAUUGUAAAGUAACACUUUUUGGUCAAUUGAAAAUUCUUUGCGAGAUAUUUUUUGGUCAUGAAACGCCUUGGUUUUUUCUUUAUAAAUUUGAUAUUUUCAUACAUGCCUCACCGGAUCUCUUCGAGUUCUUGAAUGUCUAAUUUUCAAUAAUUACUUGCGGCGUCCAACUCCAUGUUGUAUAUUUUCAUCGCCCAAAAUGCCUUAUGUUCUAACUCUAGUAGAAAGUGACACGGUUUACCGAAUAUGAGUCUACAAGGGGACAUUCCAAUGGGUCCUUUGUAAGCAGUACGGUACGCCCCCAAUGCAUCUUUUAAACGUAAGCUCCAGUCUUUCCUAUUUGGUUGCACGGUCUUUUCCAGAAUUGACUUUAUUUUACGGUUUGAAACUUCCACUAGACCAUUUGUUUGUGGGUGAUAAGCUGUGGCCACACGAUAUGUAACCCCAUAAUUUUCAGUAGAGUAUCAAUUACCUUGUUACAGAAAUGAGUUCCUUGAUCACUGAUUAAUGCUCUUGAUGUGCCAAACUUGGAAAAAAUAAAGUUCGUUAGAAAAUCCACUACAGUUUUAGCAUCGACAUGUCAGGUAGCUUUAGCUUCUACCGACUUAGGUACGUAAACUACAACAAGAAUAAUGUAAAAAUUGUUAAAUGAUGAAACAAACGGUCCCAUAAAAUCGAUGUCUCACAUAUCAAAAAUUUCAUAUACAUGUAUAAGUAUUAGGGGCAUCUCACUCUUUUGGCUUAAAUUCCCAACUUUUUGACAACUCUCGCAAGUUUUGUAAAAUAAAUAAGCGUCAUAAAAUAUGUGUGGCCAAAACAAUCCACACUCAAGUACCUUAUGUACGGUGUGUUUCUAACCAAAUUGCCCUCCACAAGCAUAAGAAUGACAAAAAGAAUGGAUAGAUUGUACCUCCGUUUCUGUGACAUAUCGUCCUGAUCGGAGCAGUGUUUCCAUAGGUAUGGAUCGUCCUAAAUAUAAUAUCGUGAGUCUCUUUUGAGCUUGUCCUUUUUAGAAUGUGAUAGGUUGGAAGAGACAAUACUUGUAACGAGGUAAUUUACCAUAUCUACAAACCAUGGGUAAACUGUUUGAGCUGAUAGAAGACUUUCAUCUAGGAAGUCAUCUUUGAGAGGUAUGUCAUCUUUUGAAAAGGGAAUUUAACUCAAAUGAUCAGCUACUAAGUUCUCACUUCUUUUUAUCCUUGAUCUCAAGAUUGGAUUCUUGUAAGAGAAGAAUCCAUCGAAUCAACCUUAGUUUUGCCUUUUUUUUCCCGAUGAUAUAUUUCAACGCUUCAUGGUCAAAAUAAAAAAUAACUUCAGUGCCUAAUAAUUACGAUCUAAAUUUUUCCAAAGCAAAAACAAUAGUUAAUAAUUCUUUUUUAGUAGUUGAGUAAUUGCUCUGGGCAGCAUCUUGUGUUAGAGGCAUAGGAUAUGACAUGAGGGUCCUUCCCAAUUCUUUGCCCAAGGACAGCUCCUACAUUUUGGUCGCUUGCAUCGCACAUGAGCUCAAAAGGGUAGUCCCAAUUUGGAGGCUAUAUUAUUGGAGCUGAAACAAGCUUUUGUUUGAAAAUGUCUAAUGCAUCUUUGCAUGCUUGAUCAAAUUUGAACUCUUUAUCUUUUUACAAGAGAUUGUAGAGCAGUCGCGAAAUCUUAGAAAAGUCCCUAAUAAAGCACCUGUAAAAACCUGCAUAACCAAGAAAUGAACAAAUUUCCCUCAUAGUUUUGGGGUAUGGAAGCGAGUUAAUAACAUCAGUUUCGGCCUUAUCGACUAUGAUCCCUUCAGCGCAAACAAUAUGCCUUAAAAUAAAUCUUUUAUCUACCAUAAAAUGACAUUUUUCAUAAUUAAGAAUUAGAUUAAAUUGUAGGCAUCUUUUCAAAAAUUUAACGAGGUUUGACAAAUAUUCAUUGAAAGAAUUACCAUAAACUGUAAAAUCGUCCAUAAAUACCUCAAUUAUUUACUCGACAUAGUCAAAAAAUAUACUUACCAUACACCUCUGGAAUGUGGCUGGUGCAUUGCAAAGUCCAAACGACAUUUGUCUAUAGGUAAAUGUGCCAAAGGGGCAUGUAAACAUUUCUUUCUCUUGGUCCUCCAGUGGCACUGGAAUUUAGAAAAAACUUGAAUAACCAUCAAGACAACAGUAGUGAGUUUUUUCGCUAAACGUUCUAACAUUUGAUUAAUAAAAGGAAGUGAUAAGUGGUCAUUUCGAGUUAAAGAGUUUAACUUCCUGUAAUCUAUACAGACUCUCUUGUUGCAUUUUUGAACUCGAGUGGAAACUAAAUCUCCUGUUGCAUUUUUUAUUACAGUCAUACCAGUUUUCUUGGGUACCACAUAAAUUGGGUUGACCUAAUUACUGUCAAAAAUUGGAUAGAUCAUCUCAGCCUCCAAUAGCUUUUGAAUUUCCUUUUUGACAACCUCCACCAUUGGUGGAUUAAGGCGUCUUUGAGCUUCUCUAUUUGGGUUUGGAUUUUCUUCAUCGGUAUUCUAUGCAUACAAGUCGAGGGGCUUAACCCUUUUAUGUCGACAAUUGUCUAUCCGAUAGCCCCUUUAUAGUCUCUUAAGACUCGAAUCAAAUUCUCCUCUUCUAACCCCAAAAGUUUACUUGAAAGUAUUACUAGUAAAGUGUUUCCAUUACCUAGAUAGGCAUACUUCAAAUGUUCUGGCAAUGGUUUAAGCUCUAUUUCUAGGGCUUACAAAAUAGAAGGCAACAAUUUAGUUUUAGAAGGAGAAAGUUCAAAGUACUUACCUUGACUUCUAGGGAAUUAAGGAGUCUCCAAUAGAACAACGAUUUCCCGAAUCAGUUCUUUAAACGUCAUUAUCUCCUCCAAUUUAUCCAUCGUAUUAAUAUUUAAAAUUUUGAAAAGUACAGUUUGUAAUUCAUCCCCUUCAUAAUACUCAAAAUGAAAUUUCCUUAGUGGUUUAAUAAUAUCAAUGCUAGAAAUGUUUGACAUUUUAUUGGGUUGGCCCAUCGCCUCAUAAACAUUAAUUUUUACCACCUCACUGUUGAAUUCCAUAGUGAGGGCUAAACUACAAACAUUAAUCUUUGUACGCGUGGUACUUAGGAAUGAUCUCCCAGGUAGAAUAUAAAAAGUAUUUUUUAAGUGGUCGUCUUCCAUAUCGGUGAUGUAGAAGUCUGUAGGAAAAAUUAGCUCAUUUACCUUUACAAGGACAUCUUCUAGCACCCAUUCUUGAUAUACGCAUGACCUAUCUUCCAAUUGAAUAAUCACCCCUAUUUCUUUCAAAGGACCUGUGUUUAGCAUAUAAAAAAAUAGAUAAAGGCAUUACAUUAAUUGAUGCUUCUAAAUCACACAUGGCUUUCUUUAUGCCAAUAUUACCUAUUUUGUAAGAUAUAUAAAGCAUAUAUUGGUCCUUACACUUAGGCGGGAUUUUCCUUUGUAGCACUGCAGAAACAUUUUCUCCCAUAUUCAUCCAUUCGUUUCCUUGGAGUUUUUUUUUUACCGGUACACAGUUUCUUCAAAAAUUUUGCAUAGCGUGGAACCUGUUUAAUUACAUCAAGUAAAGGAAUAUUAAUUUCUACCUUUCAAAAUGUCUCAAGGAUUUCUUUUUCCUCUCGUUCCUUUUUAACUUGGGUGAGCCUUCCAGGGUAUGGGGGAGGUACAACAAAUGGUUUAUGAGGUACCAAUUUAAUGGGAGCUGCUAGUUCAGCUUCCUCUCCAACAUCGUGGUCACGACUCGUGCUAGGAACUAGUUUUGACUCUUUCUCAUCCUUUAUAGCCACAACACUUACAUUUGGACGUGGAUUUGGCUCAGCUUGAAAUGGUAAUUUUCCUUGGUUCUCUAAACGACUAACCAUAAGAGCUAACUUACUUAUUUGCUGAUCCAUUUCUUGGAGAUGCGCUUCAGUCUUUUUUUGGAACUUUUUGGUGCUAAUGGCUAACCUUUCUACCAUGGUUUUGAGAGAUGACUUUGGAGAUUGAUAUUGUUGAGUUGGAGGUGGUCUUAAUUGAUAUGGUUGAUUGUAUCGAGCGUUCAACCUACAGCUUAUAUUUGGGUGGUCCCUCCACCUUGCAUUGUACAUGUUCAAAUAUGGAUCAUAGUAUCUUUGAGGUGGCCCUUGGGACUUCCCAACAACAUCUACUUGUACAGUUGUGUCCUCAAGUAAAAUCGGGUUCGAGUCAGUAGGAUGAUCAGGCUUAGCACAAAUCCCACAUAACCGAGCUAGUUUCGUCUAUCCUGUAAGCAUAUUUUUAACCACAUUAGUAAGUUCAUCAAUCUUAUUUACUAUAGAAGGAGUACUUAGCUCAUGAACCUUUCUCGUAGGUUCCACAUGUGCUCGAUACUGUUGAGAAUUUGCAGCCAUGGUCGAAAUUACUUCACUAGCUCUUGGGGGAGUCAUGUUCACAAGAGCCCCUUCACUAGCGGCAUAAAUCGUCUUCAUUUCCAUUAGCAGUAACCCCUCGUAGAAAUACUGUAAGAGUGAUUGUUCAGAUAGGCCAUGUUGUGGGCAACUUGUGCAAAACUUCUUGUAUCGUUGCUAAUAUUCAUAGAGUGAUUCUGCUUCCUUUUGUUGAAUUUCGACUAUACUCCUCAUUAAUUCAGCUGCUCGAGCUGUUGGGAAGAACCUAUCAAGAAACAAUCGAGACAUAUCAGUCCAAGUAGUAACAGAUCCCAGAGGUAAAUAAAACAACCAUUCUCUAGUAGAGUCAUCUAAUGAAAAAGGAAAAGCUCGUAGUUUUAUUUGAUCCUCAGUUACUCCUUCUGGUUUUAUGCUUAGACAAACCAUGUGGAACUCUUUCAGAUGAGUAUAGAGGUUCUCGUUUUUCAAACCGCAGAAAGCAGGCAACAAAUGUAUUAAUCCAGACUUUAACUAAAACGGUGUUUUACCCAUUAGAUAAGUUAUAUAUAUCGAUUGUUGUUCAUCUGGUGCAGCUGCAAGUUGGUGUAUAGUUUGAUUUGCCAUUUUGAUAGAAUCUUCAGAUGAGUAGAUAUCUUCAAUGUAAGAUCCUUUUUCAAAAUUGGGUUGUGGUUGUUUACCGUGCCGAAUAGCUUCUUUUCGAAGCAUUCGAACCAACUUUUCUACCUCUAGUUCCAAUGCUAGAGUCCUCGAUUCUGACUUGGUUAUAAAGGAAACAAACAAAAAUUAGAAAUUUUCAUCAAUCCUUGGCAACGACGCCAAAUUUUUAUGGGUGCCAAAACCAGCAAAUAUAAAUUUCUACGGCAACGUAACAGUAAUUAGCAGUAUAGAGUAGUAGGGUCGAAUAUACAGGGGUUGGAUAUCUAAUUUCAAUUUUUUUUGUGACUAGAAUCGCUGUCGUGGUCAUAGUCGUGCCCAUAAGCUAUGUGUAGAAAUGCUGGAAAUAAAAAUAAAAAUAAAAAUGAGGGAUUUAAAUUGAUUAAGAUAACAAAAUAAGGAAAUAUAAAAAAUGAAAUAAAAAAAUUGAAAAUGCAAAAAUAAAUUUAAGAAAAUAAAACAAAUGGAUAAAUAAAAUAUUUUUUUAAGCUUAGCCUUAGCCUCGGUGUACUCCAAUCUUGAAUCGAUCCUUGAAAUAGAUUUUGCCUUCUAAGAUAUAAGCUGGUUAUAUCGACCAAGAACGUCCUAAUCACCAACUUUUCCUUAUGUAGUCAAUCCUGGUACGACCUGCAAACUGACUGUUGCCAAAUUUCUAACUACGAUACAUAUGUUCGCAAUUUAAGAUUUCAACAGCCUUACGAUCUGAAAAGCCCAACUCGAAUCAACGACCUCAACCGCGUGGGUCGUUUAAAUCCGAUCUCUAUCUCCCUUAACGGAAUCCAACUGGCUUUUACCACCUAGACAUGCCAAUUUUUUUACGGGAAUUCGAACACAACACAGCCGAUUCGUCUUCCCAACUGUAUGCCAAACAACUCCAACCCAACGUGCACUUUUUGAAACGAAGCUAAAUCAACUUUAAAGGACGAAUUUGUACUAUCCCAUAUAUUGGAGAGAUGGAAAACAUUGCGUUUAGAGGUUUGUUGAGGAGGCUGAUAUCUCACGAUUGUUUUAUUGGAGCAAUUUCUGGGCUAAAGCUAAAAAGGGUUUAGUUAAUCAUAGAAAAAAUCAUGCUUUGAAAAUAGAUUUGAGGAUUUGUUGUUGAUGGAAAUGGGAAGGGCCUUGGAAGACAAUUAAACUGAAAGAUUGAAAGCAAAAAAAUGAAACGAAAUAGUAAUAUGAGGAUGAGGAUGGCACAGGAAAUAGAAGAAAAAAAAGAAUUUAUUAAUUGCCAAGGUAAAAAAGUGUGUUCAAUUGGUUGUAGCCCACUAGGUAUUUAUACACAUUUUUAGUGUUAAAAUUUAGCUAGAUUUUUCCUAAAUUUUAUUGUAAUAGUCCAAUUUUGGCCUGGCUAAAAAACAAAUAACAAUCCGAAUACAACUGACCUAAAGCCCAAAUUACAAUCUAACCCAAUUACAAGGCCCAAUUGGCCUAAGGUAACAGAAGCCUUAAGCAGCAGGUAGCCUCGGCGCCGCACGUCCCCACGUUGCUGCAACCGCCCAUCACCCACGAUCAGCAACUCCGCAUAACGCCGAUUCCACCUGCAAUAAAUCAAAGGGAGGGAUUGAUCAAAGAAAAGAGGAGUGUAAAAAACGAGUGUAAAAGAGACAAAGAUUGUAUUGAAAAGGAAAAAAGAUACUAAAUCAAGGAAUCAAAAGGGAAGUUUUGAAGGUAUUUCGCUUCAUUUUUCAGAGAAAUCUGUGGGAUUUCUAUUUUUUUAUGUAUUUAUUCUCUGUUAUAAAAUAAAAACGAAAGAAAAGGAAAAAUAGAGUUUAUUGAAGGUGAAAGAAUUUUUCCUCUUCUUUUGAUAAUUUUCUGCUUCUAUUCUUUUAUUUAAGAGAAAGGAAGAGACUUUUUUUUAAAACCUUACCUGUAUGUUGCGUUGUCGGAACCUCUAUACUUUCGGCUUCGAAUCAAAAUAGGGUGGGCAAUGGUUGAGUUGAAAGUGGUGUUGCGGGCAUAGGUUUAGUCUGUUGGAGAAAUUAGAAUGGUGGCUGAUAUUAGGGUUAGCAUUGGUUUUAUUUUAAAGUGAAAGAGACGGUGCAGUGAAAGAAACGACACCGUGUGGACUUUAUGCCAAGGUUCAAUGGCUUAUUUGCAGGAUUGGUCCUUUGUUCUUUGAGGGGUGUUUAAAUCAGUUUUUUUUUUAAAAUUUAGCCGCAUGUUUUAUGUUUGUUUCACUUCGGUCUUUAUUGAAACGCAACGUUUUGGAGGAGUGGAUUAAUUUCCUUUUUAGUCCCCGUCAGUUGUAUGCGUGUUCAAUAGAGUUUGCGCAUCUAUGUCUAUUUCGAAUUUGCCUUUAAAUUUCUGUUUGGAUUACAAAUUGGUCUUUUUGUCAUUUUUAUACUAUUAUUAUUAUUAGUAUUUUAAUUUAUUAUUAUAAUUAUUAUUAUUAUAACUAUGUAUUUAUGCGAAUACUUUCAAAAUAUAUGUACAUAUCGUGUUUGUAAUUUAUAUAUAUACUUAUAUGCUUACAGUUUUUAAUAUAUUUUACAAUUUAUAUAUGUAUCUAUAUAUUUAUUUAACUAUUUUUUAUUUUUGUUUUUUUUCUUCACAAAUAUGUAUGUACAUAUAAAAUUUAUAAUAUAUAUAUUUUCUAUAUUUUAUAACCCAUACAUGCAUACAUUCAUAAAAUAUGUACAUACAUACACUUUUUAUUAUUAUUAUUUUAAAUUAUUGUAAAUAUAUAUAUUGUUGCAUAUGUCUUUUUUUAUAUAUAUACAUAUUAUACUUAUAUAUAUACGUAUUUUAGUGUAUACAUGUACAUAUUUUCAUAACUUACUUAUGUAUAUGUCAUACAUAUACAUUUUUUUUAUUUUUGUAAAUACAUAUGCAUAUUAUAUAUAUAUUUUAUACUUAUGUUAUUUUCAUAACUUUUAUAUGCAUGAAUAUGUAUAUACAUUGACACUUUACAAUACAUAUAUAUGUGUAAUUUAAAUUAAAGUAUUGGUUUCAUGUUGUACAUUAGCAUUUUACUAUACUUUUUAAAGAAAAUAUAUUUUGGUUUCGGCAAAGCAUUAAAAUCAUCAUAUUUUAAAAAAAUUCAAAAUAUUUGGCAUUCAUGAUUCUCGAGAAAAUAAUCGUGUCCUAACUUACUAGAUUUUCAAAUAAAAUCACACAGAUUUUCAAAUAAAAGCUUAUUCUCGGGAAUCCAAAAAUGUUGGGUCCUAACUUACUGGUCAUGACAUUUUGUCAUCUCGAAAUAAGAAUUUCUAAAACAAAAGGCAAUAUUCGGUAUUUGGAAUUUUGAGAAAUUGUGCCCUAACUUACUGGGUUUCGAUUUUCUUCAUUUGACCUAAAUAACCGAAUAUCCUUAUUAGAUUUAACUGUGUGAGUUUUAAAAUCAAAAGACAAACUUAAUUUUGAAGAUUUAAAAAUAUUGUGCCCUAACUCACUGGGUGUGAUGUUUUACUUCUUUGAAAUAAGAAUGUUUUAUCAUUUUAAUUCAUUCAAGAUAAAAAGUUUUCUUUUAAAAUCUUUUCAAAUUUUCGGCACUAAGACAUUAAAUAAUCAAUUUGGUACCGAUUUUGGGUGUUACGAGGGUGCUAACCCUUCCUCGUGCAUAACUGACUCCCGAACCUAUUUUCUCAAAUUUUGCAGACCAAAAUUAUUUUUAAGGUGAGCCAAUCACACCUCAAUCAAGGAUUGGUGGCGACUCCAAUUUUUGUUUUUAAAGUGGACAACUAAAUUUUUGUUUUUUCAAAAAAAUAGUUUCGACAAUUAUCACUAAAUCCAAAUUCAAAUUUAAUAGCAUUUUAUUUGAUAAUUAGCCAAAAAUAAAUAUAUUAAAAAUACAAAUUUAUCUUACUAUCAGUAAUGGUUUGAAAUGUCAUAUGCUUUGAGUUUUAUAAUGAUCUAUAUUAUGAUAUAUAUGAGAGAAUGAAAUUUGAAUAUUGAUAAUGAGAAAAAUGUGUAUUCUUUGAGGAUGCAUCAACGAAAUGAAAUACUAGUGAAAUUGAAAAAAAAUAUAUGCAAGAAUGAGAUGCAAACAUAUACUUGAAUAUGAGGAAACUUGUGAAAAGAUAGACCAAAAUGCCCUAAGGGUGCCAUGUUCUAUUAAUAUAUUAAUAUGAAAUUAAUUUACGCUGAUAUAUCAAGUGAUAUUAAUAUAUGUAAUUUGCUUCUUAACAUGUGAAAAGAUAAUGUUAUUCUUCAAUAUAACACAUUUUUUUAUUAUUUAAUUCAUUUUGGAUUGAAUUUGAAUUACUUUGACAUCAUUGAGUAUUCAAUACUCAAUGUAUGGAUUUUUUUUUUGUGCUUAUGUUUUGACAAGUUUUGAUAGAUUGAAUGACUCGUGAAGCAUUCAGGACUCGAUGUCUUAGCUCAUAUCGAGUUUGUGUUUUUUCACUUAUAAAUGGUUAAAGGCAUGUACCUUAGUUGAGUCGGAUGGUUUAAUGUCUUUUUGGAUCAUUUUGAUAUGCUUUGCUAUAUACUGGGCUUAUAGUUGUCCUAAAGAUGAAAUUUGAUACUGAGUUAGAUAGCUAAAUGCAUGUUUUUUCUUGCCUUAUUAUCUACCUUUUCAAGUGAAAAUAUGAUGAUUUGAAUGUCAUGUUUUCAAGGAGUGUCAAUAUGUUUGAUAAGUUAAUCAUGUGUAUUGAUAUGUCAUGAUAUUAUAAAAAAAAUUAGGUAACAUGUGGAUACAAAUCUUAUGCUUGAAAUGUUGGAUUCUGGACAACUUGGUAUGCUGGUCUAGAGACACUAUGGUCAUGUCUCAAGACAUUAUGAAAAAAAUGACCAUUUCGUUCAUUUCUGGGUUAAGGUCUUGAGACAUACAUUGUCAUGUCAUUGAAGCCAAGGGUCUAAAAUAAGGAAGUUAUGUCUUGAGACCCGUCUCAAGACAUAAAAGACCAUGUCUCGAGACAUAACCCCAUGUCUUUAUGUCUCGAGACAUACAUCAACAUUGAAGUAAAAUAAAAAUAAAUAAAAAUACAGAGGAAGUACGUUUCAGGACAUGGUUCUACUAUCUCGAAACACACUAUUCAAAUUUGAUAGAUUGAAUUUGGAAUCGAGUCUUGAUUCUAUUUUUUACUCAAAGCAAUCCCAAAACAUGUUAGUUGAAGUUUAUAGGCAUCUAUAAUGUAUGUAAAUGAUUGUGGAUGAUGAUUGAAUUGGAUUAUAUGAAUAUUACAUGCUAAACUUUGUGAAAUUGUAUUGAGUUAGUUAGACCUACGUCGGCAACAUAAUAUGAUGUCUCACAUUCGGAUCUGACAACUGAAUGGGGUGUUACAUAUUAUAAACUUUACAUUUUUAUUUUCCAUACUUAUCCAUACUUUUACUACUACUCUUCGGUUAUUACUACAUCUAGUGACUUCGUUUUUUUUAAAAAAAUACACUUUAUGACACGUAAAAUAUUUGUGAAAAAAAUUAAAAUUUUAAAUAUGCUUCCAUUCAUGUUUUUAAACAUAAACAUUUACAUUACAAAUUAUAGCCAUGUACAAAAAAAUUUCAAAUCAACUUAAAUUUAAUAAAAAAAUUAAUGAUAAUAAUAAUUGAAUUUUCAUUUUCAAAUCCAAAAAGUAGAGAGACUAAAUUCUUUAAAAUAAAAAUUGGAAUUAAAUUUCAAAUAUACAAAAAAAAUGCAUACACUUGAAGCAUAUUUUAACUUGCAUUUUACAAAUUACUAUUUAGAUGAGUUUGAGACUUUGAAUUUAAUCCUCUAUCAUUCCUUAUGCAAGUGUUACAAAUUAUUUUGUUUUAUAUUCCAAAUGAUGUAUGCUUAAUUAAUUAUCGGUGCUUUUAAAGGUAUUCAUGGGCCAAGCUGAGUUAGGUUUUGGUCGAGAUUAAGCAUAAUAUUAACACACUUUAUACUUGUGAAGCCCUAGCUCAACCUAAAAUAUAGGCUUAAAAUUGUGCUUAAACCCACCCAUAUUUGUAAAUGGUUAACCCAAGUUCGUUUUAAGCUUACCUAUACUAUUUUUUUUAUUUUUUAAAAUAUUGUAAUAUUUUUAAUUUAAAAUUUAAUAAUUUUAUUUUUUUCAUUUAUUAAAAUUUUAUAUAUAGAGAACUUAACAUUUAUUAAAUGUUUACAUUAUAGUAUUAUAUUACCAUAGAUUUAAACUUUAUAUGUUUUAAGUACACAAUAUAUAUAAAAGUAACAUAUCACAAAAUUAGAAAACUAGUUGAGCCUACUUGGGCCAGGCUCAAGCCCUGAAUGUUCAAGCUUGAGCCUAAUCCAUAUUUUAAACGAGCCUAAUUUUUUUUGCCUAGGCCCUCCCAAAAUUUGGAGAGGCCUUCAGGCUUGGGCAAGUAGUCAAACUCUUAAACAAGUCUAAAUGCUUUUAUAACUUCUUAAUUAAUGAAAUAUCUUGACAAACUAACAGUUAAAUUUAUACAAUUCUGCUCACAAGUUUUGGAUCUUUAUGAUAUUUUUAUCAUAUCAGUCAAGAAUAAUUUAUAUUCAAUAAAUAAUUCAAAAUUUUUAAUAUAUUUAAAAUUUGAUAUCAACUAUCUAAAUAUAUAAAGCAUGAAAUAUAUUGAAAAAUAAAUAUUUAUUGUUGAUGUUUGAUAAGGGAAGUGAAAAGAGGGAUAAAACAAGGAGAAUAAUUGAGGAGUGGAUAAAGUUAACAUAGUAUUGUCUGUACAGAAAGCCUAAAGUAAGGGAAGAAGGAGCUAGUCCCCCUCUUGGUCAAUGGGAAUGUAUAUACAUGUUCCUUUGACAACAAUCUUCUAAUAAACUUUUAGAGGAUGAGUCAUGUAGCCCCAUUAAAUUCCUAAGUCGUGUGUUACCUUGUAAGGCACAUUAAGUUUGCAUGAUGAUUAGCCGACAUACUUUACAAGUGGCAAAUGAUACACAACAAGGUUUUUGAUACUUGCAAGGUGAUGAGCCUUAGCAGGGUAGACAUCUAGCAUGGUCCUUUUGAAGCAAAAUGUAACGACACCGUUUAUCGGGGUGUCGAAAAAUUUGUUUUUGUAAAUCGAAUUCGUAAAUAUUAAUUAGGAAUAUUUACAUGGUUAGUAUAAAUAUGAAUUGAAAUUUGGUUAGGCAAUUUAACCGAAAAUGAGGUUAGUUAAAGCUAGGGGAAAAAUUGUAAAAGUUUAAUCGUUAUAAAUUUUUAAUUAGAAUAAGGCUUGGUGAACUAAAUAGUAAUUAAUCAAAGGACUAAAAUGGUAAAUAAAUAAAAAUAAAAUUGAUAAUAGUGGGAUUUGAUGGUGGAUGUCAUUAGCUUAAGUUAAUUAAAGAUUAAUGUUAAUUAAACAUGAUUGAAGUGAUUAAUUAAGCUUAAUUAUAAUUUAAUCAAGUUAUAUAAGUAAAAUUGAGUGGAGAGAUGUUGUCAUCUUCUCUAAACUUAACCGUCCACCAUUAGAAGCCAUUAAGGAAAAUAUUCAAAACCUAGUUUGAGCAUCGACUAACAUUUAAAGUAAGUCCCUAGCCAUUUUUCUUUGAUAUAUAUAUUAUCAUGAGUGCUUGAUUAAGCUAACCCAUGUGUCAAUUUUUUAAUUUGGGAAGAUUUUGAUAAGUUGUCAUUAUUGAGAAUUGGAUAAAUUAGGAGUGAAAUUGAUAUAAAUUAAGCUUAGAUUGUGAAAAAGACUAAAUUGUAAAGCUUAACAAGCUUCAUUGUUAGCUUGAUUACAUUAGGGAGAAAAAUGAAUAAAAUGCAAAUAUGUUAUGAAAUUAUGGUAGGAAUCGAAAGGAUAGGGUCCCUAAUGAGUGAGUGUAAAAUUAGAGUUUAAUCCGAAGCCUUAGAUUGAAAGUUAUGCUUAUCUUGGGUUUAGAAAUUAAAUUGAAUAAAAUGUAAAAUAUGCAUGAUUUAGUAUUUGAUUGUGAGUUGGUCGGAAAUUGAUAGCGAUAUAUGUUUCGUGGUCACACGUAGCUAAUGUCGAUGCAAAACUGUCGAGAGUGAAAAGAAAAGUGAAAGAUAUUGACGAGUGACUUAGGAAUCCCAAUUUGUACUUUAUGAUUUAGGAUAGAAAUAUUUUCUUGUAAUUGCAUGUUUAUUGAAUGAUUGAUCAUUGAGGUGAGUAUAUGGUGAUAGUAUGAAUUGUUUUAAUUGAGUUUGAUGUGGAAUGUCACACCCUAGUUUGGUGAAUCGGAUAGGUUUGGGAGACUACACUGGUAGAGACUGCCUAAGUUGUGAGACAUAGACUGGAUAAGGUUGGUAUCUUUGAGGUGGAGUGCUGCUACAAAGAACUUCGCCAACACUGCGGAGUGCUAGUUCGAGCGAUAAUGAGAUUAUAGUUAGGGUGGGGACCUUAUUAGGACGGCUUUCUCGCUAAUAAGAUCGCCACCCGUGUUUUAGUAUCGUUACUGAAGUAAGUACGAUGAGUUGUAGGAUACAUUUAGGUCACUUGGCAUCCUAGUUAAGGUAAAGUGUCAAUAAUUAGGACACUUGUAGAGCAUCAUAGGAUGUGAGUAAUUAGUAGAAGCAUGCAAGAACAAGUAAUGAUUAGAGAUAAUCCUAAUUGAGAAAGAUCAAUUCUUUUGAUUGCAUGAUAGACUUCCCUGAAAAACAUUGGCGCACGUGUAAACGAGGUGCUCUACCAACUGAGCUAUAGCCCUUGUGUUUUGGUGUAGCAGCUAUAUUUCGAUUCAUCCUCUUUUUCCAAGGAUUUCAUAAUUGGACAUUACGCGCUACCAAGCCGCGCUACAUCCCUUUCAAUUGGCCUACAAUGUCAUUGUAGAGAAUCCCUGUCUUGUUUUCCACACCCUUAUUUCGUCUAUUGAUAUACAAAAUGGAUCUUUCCAUUUCCUCUUUUUGGUCUCAUAUAACAACCAUAUAAUGAAUAAUAAAUGAAUAUUUUUAGCGGGAAUUCUCAGGCGGAAAGGGACCUAUUUUAUUUUGCUGUUUUAAGAAAGGGAAAAUCUUAUCUAUCGAAUCAUUGUACAUUUAAAUUUGAAUCUUGAAUUAGGAAUUCCGGGUACAAAUAGACAAAUCCAAGUGGUCUUUAACCACACAUACAUGCGAUUAUAUAUGUAUUACCAUAAUGUAAUACAAUAAAGAAGGAGGAUUUUAAAUGCGAGAUCUAAAAACAUAUCGUUCCGUAGCACCGGUACUAAGUACUCUCUGGUUCGGUUCUUUAGCGGGUUUAUUAAUAGAGAUCAAUCGUUUCUUCCCGGAUGCGUUAACAUUCCCUUUUUUUUUAAUUCUAGUUAUUGCCGCGGGAUGGGGCGAAAAAGAUUAGAUCGAGAUACAAUCAAAUAUCUGUGACUACUCUCUCGCCCCCCCCUUUUUUUUAGUUUUUUUUUCGAAUUAGAUAAGAAUUAGAUAAAAUAAAUAAGGAAGGUAGAACGAAAAAAGUAGAUUCAACCUUACCGAAACUCGGGUUCAAGCUCCAAUUAAAUUACUAGUAGAGUGAAAAGAGAAAUGUGGCUGGAACAACAGUAUCCUACAAGAUACUUAAAGAAAAUACCGUACGGUGGUUUGAUUCUAAAUAGAGUUCGAAAUCGUUGUAUUACUUAUUCUUAUUAUUUACUAUUACUCUAAAUCUAUAUUGAUUUACUAUAUUGAUUGCAACAAAAUCUUUCAAGAUUUGGUUUUGAGUUAGCAACUUUUAUUUCUUUUUUUUUCAUUCCUUUCUUCUUCGCUUUUGAUCGGAAAAUAGAAAAGUUGGGUGAAUUAAAAACUCAAAGGAGGUUCAUGGCCAAGAGUAAAGAUGUCCGAGUAACGAUUAUUUUGGAAUGUACCAGUUGUGUUUGAAACGGCGUUAAUAAGGAAUCAACGGGUAUUUCCAGGUAUAUUACUCAAAAAAAUCGACACAAUACGCCCAGUCGAUUGGAAUUGAAGAAAUUCUGUCCCUAUUGUUACAAACAUACAAUUCACAGGGAGAUAAAGAAAUAAAUCGAAUCAAGUGCUCGUAUGUCACCACUUACCGAGAAUAUGAAAAUAUGACAUUAGGUAUAUAAUAUAUUAAGUAUAAGUAUAUAAUUAGUUAUAUAUAACGCAUAUUUUCUUUCUAUAUUAUUAAUAAUAUUAUUAAAAUAUUAUUUAUAUAUUAUUAAUAUAUUUUAAUUUAUAUAUAUUUCAAUUAUAUAUUUAAAUGAUAAAUAAUAAUAAAAUAAACAAUAAUAAAAUAAACAAACCAAAUCCUAUUUAUUAUAUUAAUUCUAUAAUUUGAAUUUUUAAAAUAGGAUUUUAGAAAUAGAGAUAGGGAUAGGAUUCUUUUUAGAAAUAAGGAAUAAAGAAAUCAUGGAUAAAUCCAAGCGAUCUUUUCGUAGGCGUUUGCCCCCGAUCCAAUCGGGGGAUCGAAUUGAUUAUAGAAACAUGAGUUUAAUUAGUCGAUUUAUUAGUGAACAAGGAAAAAUAUUAUCUAGGCAGGUAAAUAGAUUGACCUUAAAACAACAACGAUUAAUUACUAUUGCUAUAAAACAAGCUCGUAUUUUAUCUUCAUUACCCUUUCUUAAUAAUGAGAAACAGUUUGAAAGAAGCGAGUCGACCACUAGAACUACUGCUCUUAGAACCAGAAAUAAAUAGGCUUACCCCUUCAAAAGAAUCGAAUCCGGUUGGGGAAGAAAAAAAAUAUUUUUUUUAUUGAGCGCCUUCGCUCAUCUUGUUUUGAUGACCUUAUCAGAACCUUAUCAGAAUCAGAAUUUUUUAUCAUAUUAAUUUCUACUCUACCUUCCCCGAGUUCAUUCUCGAGGGAACCCCAUUUCAUUUAAAGCAUUUCGUUGGAUUACUUCUGAUCUCCUUAUUUUCUAAUCUCGUUGGAAAUCAUAUAAAGACAAUUCCUAUUUGAGAUAGCUAUUUGUGCAAGUAUUUUACGAUUCAGAAGCAACUGUUUCUUGUACAGAUUGUGUAUUAAUCUACUAUAACUGUAGGAUACCCCCACUCCGCGAAUUACUGCAUUUAUUCGAGUGAUCCACAAACGACGAAAAUCCCUUUUUUUCCUAUCUCUAUCCCGAUGAGCCGAAACCAAAGCUCUUAUUCUUUGUUGAGUAAUAGUUCGAGUAAGUCUUGAAUGAGCCCCUCGAAAGCUUGAUGCAAAUAAACUAAUUUUUUUUCGACGUCUACGAGCUAUAUAUCCCCGUUUAAUUCUGGUCAUUGAAUAAAAGAAAUUUUGAUGAAUAACUAAUUCUUUCUUUCAGUUAUUAUUUUCUAGUCUAUUAAUAACAAAACGGAUUCUUCCAAUGUAUAAGAUAAAAAUUCCAAUGGCUUUUGCUACUCUAACCGUCCCGACCACGAUUUUUCCUUUUUUCUAGGCAUUUCAUUUCGCCUUGAAAUAAGAAAUUGUAUUGAUACUAGGUAUCAAAAAAAGCAUAUUAACUAAAAUAAAGGAGUAAAUAGAAAUGGAUAAAUAAAUGGUGGGUUCCAUCGUUUCUAUGGUUACUUCUUAAACGGUGAGGUCCUCUCUAUACACCGGAGCUCAUUCCUUCAUUUAAUUGGUAACUUGUACAGUUCACACUCUUCGGCUCUACUCAUAAAUUUUCCAGUAAUAGAUCUUUCACAAUGAGAUCUAUCUUAUACAGUAACGGUAUGUAAGGAUGAGGAUUAAUUGGGCAGCUGACCCUGUUAGUCCGUUCUUUGCAAGAGUCGAAGCAUAAUCUUUUUGCUUUUUAAAUAGGAUUUUCCCCGCUUAAUGGAUAAGCAUUUGCUACCAAUGGGGAAUUUUUUCUCAUCUUAAAUUCCAAGAUUGGAUUUGCGCCAAUGGAAACCAUAAAUUUCAUACACAAUAGAAGGAUAUGGUAGAUUUAUCUUUUUUAGAUAGUGAACGGACGAACCCCAUUCUAUUCACUGGUACGGAUCGUUGAUACUGAAAAAGUUGUUUCUUUUUUCUCAGCCCAUGAUCUGAACAAGUCGCACAUACACCCUAGUACAUGUUCCUCGGCGCUGAGGACAUCCCUCAAGAGCAGGGGAUUUCGUGACAUUUCUAAUUGGCUGUCUUGUAUUUCUAGUAAGUUGUUUAAUAGUUGGCAUACUGAAUCAUAUACAUAAUAGACUGGUUUAGAUCGAUCCUAACCAGAUGAUUCUGAAUUACUUCUUUUUCUAUUUAAUAGAUUAAUAAAAUAUUAACCCCUUAGGCUUAAGUUAAGAAGGAAAGGAAGAAGAGGGAUUAAAUCAAUCUUAAUUAAAUUGUGGAUUGGUGUUAAAUCGUUGCUAUUGCUAUUUGUUAUUUAACUUAUUUAACCGCUACAAGAUCCACAAUUCCAUGAGCUUGGGCUUCUGUUGCUGACAUAAAAACAUCUCUUUCCAUGUCUUCGGAUACAACCCAUAGGGGCUUGCCCGUUCUUUGUACAUAAACCCUUGUGAGGCUUUCGCGAAGUUUCAGUAGUUCUUCCGCUUCCAGGAUAAAUUCUCCUGUUUGUGCCUCAUAAAAAGAACUAGCAGGUUGAUGGAUCAUUACCCUGAUGAUAUAACAUAAUAAAAGGUUCUUCUAACUCACAUAAUGAGCGAGAAGAAUAGCUAAAAAUAGCUAAAGAAUAAUAAGAAAAAAAAGAUAGAAUUGAACAACCGUACAGGCAUUUUUUUUGUGCAUUGCAUACGGCUUUACAAUGGAAUUCUCUUUUUCUUUCAAAAUAUAGAGAGCGUCUAUUAGACCCAGAUCACUAAAUAAUCCAAUUACCACCCUUCUUUUUUUUUCUUUUUUUUCGGAAAAUUUCAAAAAUACUAUGAUGGCUCCGUUGCUUUAUAUAUUUAUUUCGUCUGUAAUUCAGCAAUCCCAAAGUUUUUUUUUCAAAAAAAAGAAAGAAAAAAAUAGUCUUUUUUUUUCGUACUCUUUUAUUUUAUAACAUAAAUAUUGUUAUAAAUAUUGUUAAUAGCCUCUGGAGUGAAAAGAAAAAAAGUUUGUGACGCUGAGAUGGGCCCACGAAAGCUAAGAUAAAAUUGGAAAUGCCCUUUCUCUCAUACUACUCUUUCGAUACAUAAUCUAAUGUUUUGAAAAAAAAAGAAAUCAAAAAAAAUUCAUAUCAAAUUCGAAGUGCCAUGCUAUUAUUACUUACUAAUUCAUAUUUCAUAUGGCGAAGGCAUAGUCUUCUUUUUUCUUUCCAUCAAAUAAAAAAACUCAUUGGCGCCGAGCGUGAGGGAAUGCUAGACGUUUGGUAAUUUCUCCUCCGGCCAGGAGAAAAGAUCCCAUUGAAGCAGCCAAUCCCAUGCAUAUUGUAUGCACAUCUGGUUGCACAAAUUGCAUAGUAUCAUAAAUAGCUACUCCGGGUAUUACCCAUCCGCCAGGAGAGUUUAUAAACAAAUACAGAUCUUUGGUAUCAUUCUCUAUACUGAGAUAUACCAUAAGACCAAUAAGUUGAUUCGAGAUCUCGCUAUCAACCUCUUGGCCUAAAAAAGUAAUCUUUCUCGAUAAAGUCAGUUGAUUAGGAUAAAAUUGUAUCCCUUAGUAGCCGUACAGGCACCUUUUGAUGCAUACGAUUCAACAAAAAUUGCGAAAAAAAAUCAAUGUGUAGAUUCCAGCCAUCCUUCGUUUUUUCUAGUGUGCCUUUUCUAACUUUUAAUUUCUAACGAAGGGGCUUUUUCUUACAUUUUUAAAAUAAAAUUCAAAAUGAAAUUAAAGAAAGAUAAGUUUUGGCCCGUUUUCCUAUAAUCUAUAAUAUAGAAAAAAUUCGCUAAACUUAUCGCACAAACUUUUCAUUGAUCUAUUUUUUUUCAUUGGGAUUCAAUCCAAAUCAUGAUGUCAUUUUCUUGUUCCUGAAUGGGUUUCAUCAAUUUUUUAUUCAAUUUUUUUAGGUUUAUGCUCUACUCCGAGUAAAGAUCCGCCCGAUUUUGAUUUGCGCAUAUAGGACAAAUGACCCAAUACCAUAUCUUUUUGCUAUGAUUUCAUUUCCUUUUUUAUUUUAAUUUAAUUCCUUUUUCUUUCAUGUUUUCCGCCAAAUAUUCAGCGUAUUUCUCAUAUUAUUCGAUUGAUUAAUAGUUUGAAAUUGUUCUUAUUUCUAUUUCUAAUUUGUAAAUAAAAAAGAUUUAUGAUUAUGAUAUAGGUGGUAAUCAUAAAUGUAUUACCAAUUGGGUUUUUUCUAAACGGAGCCUGGAUGCUUCGUUUUUUCGGUCCAACCAAGCCAACCAUAAAUCAGUCUAAUUGAAAAUAUUAAUCUGGAUACCUCCCAAAAAAAUGAAAUGGAUCUCUAAUUGCACUUAAUUACACUUCGCGCUACAAAUUUUUGAUAAUUCAAUCAAUCUUUUUGGGGCGAAACAGAGGAUAUCUCGAUCGGGCGAGAGAACGGGGGAAUCCCAUAUGACCCAAUAUAUUUGACAAGUCGCACUAUACGUCAACCCAAACUGCAUCUUCCCCUCCCGAAUUUUGAAAAGGAACUUUUGUAACACCAAUAGGCAUUAAAGGAAAGAAAAAGAAUUAAAUACUAUAUUUCACUUUGAUCUGGAAGCGUAAUAAUGGUCUUAAUAAUAUUGGCCUCAUAUUUUAUACAUAGAUAGAAUAAGGCCACAAAAUAAAGAAAGACAGAAUGAAUGAAAGAGAAUUCUUACCAAUAGGUCAUUUGAAUGACGAACAAAUAGGGAUGCGUUCAUUCAUAAAAAAUAGGAUCAACCCCCAUUGCGUAUUGAUACUUAUCGGGUAUAGAAUAGAUCUGCUUCUCUUUUUUCUUCUGAGCCGAAUUCUUCUCGUAAUUACUAAUGGAAUAGAACAAAUAUUAAUCCUUUCUCCGAAAGAAUCCAUCGAAAAGGGGAGGUAUUCCAAUGCAAUAAAGUUACAUAGUGUCUAUUGUUCGUUGAUAAAGGGGUAUUUCCAUGGGUUUCCCUUGGUAUCGUGUUCAUACUGUCGUAUUGAAUGAUCCCGGUCGCUUGCUUUCUGUUCAUAUAAUGCAUACGGCUCUGGUUGCUGGUUGGGCCGGUUCAAUGGCUCUAUAUGAAUUAGCCGUUUUUGAUCCCUCCGAUCCCAUUCUUGAUCCAAUGUGGAGACAAGGUAUGUUCGUUAUACCCUUCAUGACUUGUUUAGGAAUAACCAAUUCAUGGGGCGGUUGGAGUUUUACAGGGGGACUAUAACAAAUUCGGGUAUUUGGAGUUACGAAGGUGUGGCCGGAGCACAUAUUGUGUUUUCUGGCUUGUGCUUCUUGGCAGCUAUCUGGCAUUGGGUAUAUUGGGAUCUAGAAAUUUUUUGUGAUGAGCGCACAGGAAAACCUUCUUUGGAUUUGCCCAAGAUUUUUGGAAUUCAUUUAUUUCUCUCAGGAGUGGCUUGCUUUGGCUUUGGCGCAUUUCAUGUAACAGGAUUGUAUGGUCCUGGAAUAUGGGUGUCGGACCCUUAUGGACUAACUGGCAAGGUCCAACUUGUAAAUCCGGCGUGGGGCGUGGAAGGUUUUGAUCAUUUUGUUCCGGGAGGAAUAGCCUCUCAUCAUAUUGCAGCAGGGACAUUGGGCAUAUUAGCGGGCUUAUUCCAUCUUAGUGUCCGCCUGCCCCAAUGUUUAUACAAAGGAUUACGUAUGGGAAAUAUUGAAACCGUCCUUUCUAGUAGUAUAGCUGCUGUCUUUUUUGCAGCUUUUGUUGUUGCCGGAACUAUGUGGUAUGGUUCAGCAACUACCCCCAUCGAAUUAUUUGGUCCUACUCGUUAUCAAUGGGAUCAAGGAUACUUCCAGCAAGAAAUAUAUCGAAGGGUUAGUGCUGGGUUAGCCGAAAAUGAAAGUUUAUCAGAAGCUUGGUCUAAAAUUCCUAAAAAAUUAGCUUUUUAUGAUUAUAUUGGCAAUAAUCCGGAAAAAGGAGGAUUAUUCAGAGCGGGUUCAAUGGACAACGGGGAUGGAAUAGCCGUUAGGUGGUUAGGGCACCCUAUCUGUAGAGAUAAAGACGGGCGUGAACUUUUUGUACGUCGUAUGCCUACUUUUUUUGAAACAUUUCUGGUUGUUUUGGUAGACGGUGACGGAAUUGUUAGAGCGGAUGUCCCUUUUAGAAGGGCAGAAUCAAAGUAUAGUGUCGAACAACUAGGUGUAACUGUUGAGUUCUAUGGCGGCGAACUCAAUGGAGUGAGUUAUAGUGAUCCUGCUACUGUGAAAAAAUAUGCUAGACGUGCUCAAUUGGGUGAAAUUUUUGAAUUAGAUCGUGCUACUUUGAAAUCCGAUGGUGUUUUUCGUAGCAGUCCGAGGGGUUGGUUUACUUUUGGGCAUGCUUCGUUUGCCUUGCUUUUCUUCUUCGGACACAUUUGGCAUGGUGCUAGAACCCUAUUCAGAGAUGUUUUUGCCGGUAUUGAUCCAGAUUUGGAUGCUCAAGUGGAAUUUGGAGCAUUCCAAAAACUUAGAGAUCCAACUACAAGAAGACAAGUAGUCUGAUGCAAGAUUGCUUUGUUAUUUUUCGCUUCUACUUCUAUUUGUGAUUUGCCAUAGGCUGCUGGAAAAAUCUUGAUUUAAAUCGCUGCCUUUUCUUUGAUUCUUGUUCUUUCUUUAUUUUAUUCGGGAGAUGAUUCCAAAUAAACAGGUACGAAAGCUAUAAUUGUAAACCACGAUCAAAUUUAUGGAAGCAUUGGUUUAUACAUUCCUCUUAGUAUCUACUCUAGGGAUAAAUUUUUUCGCUAUCUUUUUUCGAGAAUCGCCUAAAAUUCUAACUAAAAAAAUGAAAUGAUUUUUCAUUAUCUCAAUUGAAGUAAUGAGCCUCCCAAUAUUGGGAGGCUCAUUACUUCAAUUAGUCCCCGUGUUCCUCGAAUGGAUCUCUUAAUUGUUGAGAGGGUUGCCCAAAAGCAGUAUAUAAGGCGUACCCAGUAAAACUUACAAGUAAACCAGAUAUAGAGAUGGCGACUAAGGUUGCUGUUUCCAUUAUUAUAUAAUUUCAAGAUCACAAUGGGUCUAUGAUAAGAUUGUUUAUUUACAGCGGAAUGAUAUACAAAGUCAACAGAUCUCACUGAAUACAAAAUUAGAUUUAUGGCUACACAAACCGUUGAGGGUAGUUCUAGAUCUGGUCCAAGACGAACUGUUGUAGGGGAUUUUUUGAAACCAUUGAAUUCGGAAUAUGGUAAGGUAGCCCCUGGAUAGGGAACGACUCCUUUGAUGGGUGUCGCAAUGGCUUUAUUUGCGAUAUUCUUAUCUAUUAUUUUGGAGAUUUAUAAUUCUUCCAUUUUACUGGAUGGAAUUUCAAUGAAUUAGAUUCACAAGAAUCACGAAGCCUCGCUUUUCAAUACAAAAAGUGAAACUUUUAGUUCUCGGAUUUUUUUAGCCCCAUUCUAUUUCGGUAGUUCGACCGCGAAAUUUAUUUGUUUCUGUAUUUUCGGAAUAUGAGUGUGUGACUUGUUAUAAUUGAUCCUAUUGAUAGUACAGAAAAUAGGUCUGUCAUCUUGAUCGAGAUAGUUUUAUCCCGUCGGAUAGUCAUUCUAGUAUCUGGAGCACGGAAUAUAUGAAAGGAUCACAAAGUAUUUGAACUAUGAUUCAUACUUAAUAUUCAAACCUCGCGGCCGGACUCAAAAAAAAAUUCAAAGAAAGAGUUAUAUUAUUUAUAAAUCGAAAGAUUUUUUAUUCUUUCAAAAUCUCAUUUAGUUUAUGCUUAUUUUGAUCAAAGGACAAACCUUUCUUUUCUUUGUAUUUUUUAUUAUAUCUAUUCUAUUGAUUGAAUAAGUGAUGAUCCAAUGGUUCUUACUCAAAGAAUCUUUGGACUUAGUUUGAAGGUUUUAUUGAAUCAUCGCGGUUCUGGUAUGAAUCUGAAGUUUCAAUUGAUUCAUAGGGUCUUAACAAGAGAAUUCCUAUCAAAAAGAAAGAAAACAAGAAUAAAGCCACAUUUCAUACAAAGAACAAAUCAAAGCAAAGAAAAAGAAAUAAGUAGGUAAAUAGAAGAUUCAAGAGGUCUGUAACGAUCAACAUAAAGACGACUGCGCUGACUUGAUUUUUUGGCAUUAUAAUUACAACUACAAAAAAGAGCUUUCGGAUUUUCACUCUUUUGUGUCUUCAGAUAAAAUUGAAUGAAAAGAUUAAGAAGUUUCAAACUUUCUAUUCCAUAUCCGUUUCAGCUAUUACUUGGGUGUUUUUGUUUGAGCUGUACGAGAUGAAAUUCUCAUAUACGGUUCUCGGGGGGGGUCCUCUUGGUUUACCUAUCUCAAUAAAGUCUAUGAUUGGUUCGAAGAGCGCCUCGAAAUUCAGGCGAUUGCAGAUGAUAUAACUAGUAAAUAUGUUCCUCCUCAUGUUAACAUAUUUUAUUGUCUAGGGGGAAUUACGCUUACUUGUUUUUUGGUACAAGUAGCUACAGGAUUUGCUAUGACUUUUUACUAUCGUCCAACCGUUACUGAGGCUUUUGCUUCUGUUCAAUACAUAAUGACUGAAGCUAACUUUGGUUGGUUAAUCCAAUCAGUUCAUCGAUGGUCGGCAAGUAUGAUGGUCUUAAUGAUGAUCCUGCACGUAUUUCGUGUCUAUCUCACUGGUGGUUUUAAAAAACCUCGCGAAUUAACUUGGGUUACAGGCGUGGUUCUGGCUGUGUUGACCGCAUCUUUUGGUGUAACAGGUUAUUCCUUACCUCGGGACCAAGUUGGUUAUUGGGCAGUCAAAAUCGUAACAGGCAUUCCGGACGCUAUUCCGGUAAUAGGAUCGCCUUUGGUAGAGUUAUUACGUGGAAGUGCUAGUGUGGGACAAUCCACUUUGACCCGUUUUUAUAGUUUACACACUUUUGUAUUACCCCUUCUUACUGCUGUAUUUAUGUUAAUGCAUUUCCUAAUGAUACGUAAGCAAGGCAUUUCUGGUCCUUUAUAGAGAAUAUAGACCAUAGCUAUAUUGUAACCAAUAAUUUAUCUUAUUACUUGGGGGAGGAACAAUAGUAUUUCAUUGCUACAAAUAUGGAUUAUUGAAAAAAAUAAGACAUGUAUUUGGAUAUUUCCUUUCAACUACAACAAUAUUCUAUUAUUUAUUUGAUAUGACAUGAAUAGUUGAAGGGAAUUCCCCGAAGAGAAAAUGGAUUAUGGGAGUGUGUGACUUGAACUAUUGAUUGGCCCGUGCAGAAAUAUGCCUUUAUCUGCUACAUUGGAAUUCACAACCAAAUGUGUCUUUGUUUCAACCACCGUGUAAGCCCCAUACAAAGGAUAGGCUGGUUCGCUUGAAGAGAAUCUUUUCUAUGAUCAGACCUGACGAUGUUGUGUAUAAAUAGGGCUCCGUAAGAUCCAGUAGAAUAAGUGAUUUGGCAUAAUCCAAAUUAGAUUUUAGUUUUUUUUUUUACUUUCUUAUCUUAAUAGUAUGAAAAUGCAUUCAUUUCUUCUGCAUCGACCCCAUUUAAUUAUACUAUCAGAGUCAAACAAGGGAUCUAAAGAAGAGCAAAGGCUAGACUAUAUUAGUAACAAGUAAAUCCUUUGUAUGUAAAAAAUCUCGAUAUAUUUUUGGGAUAAAGGUGAAUCGCAAGGCCUAAGACGACCCAUAAAGCACUUGAUCACGAUCAACUUUGUACGCCUACUUGGGUAUUGAGCAUUUACCUAUAAAAAUGAAAUUCCUUGGAAUGUAUAAUUGUAACUCCGUAAAAUGGAAUCGGGUACCUUUUUUCUUACAUACGGAACCAUUCAUAUAUGUGGGGAUAACAUAUAGAUUUAUUUUAAACACAUAGAAUAUAGAUUUAUUUUAUAGGUAUCCGUUUGUAUCCAUUUGAUUCGAUUGACUUUUGCUUGAGCCGGAUGAUGAAAAAUUAUCAUGUCCGGUUCCUUUGGGGGAUGGAUCUAGAAAAAUUCACCUAUCCUAAUAACAAAAAAACCUGACUUGAACGAUCCUGUAUUAAGAGCUAAAUUAGCUAAAGGUAUGGGUCAUAAUUAUUAUGGGGAACCCGCAUGGCCCAAUGAUCUUUUAUAUAUUUUUCCAGUAGUAAUUCUCGGUACUAUUGCUUGUAAUGUGGGCUUAGCGGUUCUAGAACCUUCAAUGAUUGGUGAACCCGCGGAUCCAUUUGCAACUCCUUUGGAAAUAUUACCUGAAUGGUAUUUCUUUCCUGUAUUUCAAAUACUUCGUACAGUACCUAACAAGUUAUUGGGUGUUCUUUUAAUGGUUUCAGUACCCGCGAGAUUAUUAACAGUACCGUUUUUGGAAAAUGUUAAUAAAUUCCAAAAUCCAUUUCGUCGUCCAGUAGCGACAACCAUUUUUUUGAUUGGUACUGCAGUAGCCCUUUGGUUGGGUAUUGGAGCAACAUUACCGAUUGAUAAAUCCCUAACUUUAGGUCUUUUUUAAAUUGAAUCAAUUAAAAAAAAUAUCAUGAUGUGCGUAUCUAGGGAGUAGUCACUUCAAAGGAAAAGUGAAUUCUCCCUAGAUACAUUUAUUCAAUUCUGGUCCGAAUCUAUGGAUUGUGCUGAAGGUUCAAAAUCCAUUGGAUUCAAACUUUUGAUAAAUCAAUUUCGAAAUGCUUUUUCUACUUCUUUUCUAGAAUGCCCAGUAUUUGUUUUACAUCUUCUAUGCGAAAGUGUUCAAUUUUCAUAAGGUCUUCUCGACUGUUAUUCAAAAGGUCCAAUAAUGUAUGUAUAUUGGACUUUUUGAGACAAUUAUAGAUCCUGGGAGGCAAUUCUGAUUGGUCAAUAAAAAUCGAUUUCAAUGCUAUUUCUUUUUUCUUUUUUGUUAGUUUAACUAAUCUAUCAUGAAACGGAAAAAAAGGUAAAGUAACAUCGUGUUGAUUGUUUUCUAAAUGGAAGUUUUCUUCUUCCGCAUGUAGAAAAGGAAUAAAUAAAUCAAUCAAAUUGCGAGAGGCUUCAUGAAGUGCUUCUUUCGGAGUUAAACUUCCAUUUGUCCAUAUUUCUAGAAAAAGUAUCUCCUGUUUUUCAUUAUCAUUCCCAUAACAAUGAAUACUAUGAUUCGCAUUUCGAACAGGCAUGAAUACAGCAUCUAUAGGAUAACUUCCGCCGUGAAAGUUCUUUGGCAUUUUUAUACCGUAUCCUCUAUUUCUCUCGAUUUGUAAUCCAAUACACAAAUCAAUUGGUUCGGUUAGGCUGGCUACAUGCUGUGUAUUAUCAACGAUUUCCACAGAAGGUGGUAAGAUGAUGUCUUGAGCAGUUACAUAUCCGGGACCCUUGGCACAAAUAAAGGCGUUACGAGUUCCAUACAAAUUCCCUCUCAAUACAAUUUCUUUCAAAUUCAUUAAAAUUUCAUGGACUGAUUCUUGAAUACCUACUAUGGUAGAAUAUUCGUGGGGUAUUUUCUCAGAUUUUGCACGUGUAAUGCAUGUUCCUUCUAGUUCUCCAAGCAAAGCUCUUCGCAUCGCAAUGCCUAUUGUGUCGGCUUGGCCUUUCAUAAGUGGAGACAGAAUAAAGCGUCCAUAAUAAAAGGCGCUUACUAUAUGUUCUUGAUUCAACACACUUCCACUGUCGUGUCCGAGUCGAAGUAGAGACUUUUACUUUCUCUCGAACCAUAGUAAUAUUAUUUUAUUUGAUCAGAUCAUUGAAUCAUUUAUUUCUUGAAUCUAUCCAUUCUGGAUCCAAAAAUGACCCCUCCCACGAAUUUUUCAGAUUUUGAGACACAUUCAAUAAUAUAGAAGUAUAAGUUGCCAAAAUGAAAAUAAAAAAAAUUAGAGGGGGGUCAGUCAAACUUCUGUAAUCUGUAAUGUAACUUGAAUGAAAUAAAUAGAAUUUGAAUGAUGAAUGAAAAGAAAAUAAUAAAAUCGAAAUCAUAAUAAAAAAAAUGAAAUUCUAAAUAAUUAAAUUAAAUUAUUAAUUUUUCUAUUUAACUUUAACUUAAAUUAAAUAAUAAUAACUUAAAUUAAAUAAUAAAAAAUUCUAAAUAGACUAAAUAUAAAUAAUAACUAAAUAAUAACUAAAUAGAAAUAAUAAUAUAUAUAAUAAUAUUAUAAGAAUAAUAUAAUAAUAGAUAAUAAUAGAUAAUACAAUAAUAGAUAGAAUAAUAAAAUAAAUAAUAUAGAAAUAUAGAUUUAUAAAUCGAAAUAUAUUAAUAUAAAUAUAAUAAUAUAAAUAUUAUUAAUUACUUAAUAUUAAUAACAAAUAAUAUAAAUUAAUAUUAAUUGCUAAUAACUUGUAAUUUGAUUAUUUGAUAAGCAUUUGAAUUGUUAUAUAAUUUCGAUUGUUAAUUGGUUUAGUAGUGGAAUUUGAUAAAAUCGCCCUGAACUGAAGAAAGUAUCUAUCCUAGCUCUGACCAAAUAUUCUUUCGUAUCAAGAAUCAAGAACGAAAAUGCGGAUAUAGUCCAAUGGUAAAAUUUCUCUUUGCCAAAGAGAAGACGUGGGUUCGAUUCCCGCUAUCCGCCCAGAGCAAUGUAUUUAAGAUAAGAGGAUAAAAGAUUCGUUAUAGUUGACUGUAAAUAGUUGACUGGAAUUGGAAUAUAAUACACCCCCUAAAAGAAAAAAUGACUAGUUAAUAGGGUCAAGUCUAAUUUUUUUUGUCAAAAAAAUGUAAUGUUGCGGGAACGGGAUUUGAACCCAUGACCUCAAGGUUAUGAGCCUUGCGAGCUACCAAACUGCUUUAUCCCGUGAUGAAAAGAAACCAAACUAAUGGACAAACAAAGAUUGAAUGCGCCCCUCUUCCAUAUAUGUACAAAUAGAAUAGCCUAUUUAUACAGAAUGGUAAAGGGGCCCCUCUAUGAUCAUCGAUCAUAGAAAUAAAUAGAAAAGGGAAGGGAUAUUUUAAUCCUUACCAACUUGAUCUUGUUGCCCCCGGCAACAAACAUGCAUGAACCAUUUCACGAAGUAUGUGUCCGAAUAGUCGAAAGUCUCGAUAGUUAGCUCUCGGUCUUCCGGUCGAAAAGCAACGUCGAUGAAGACGUGUGGGUGCGCUAUUUCGUGGUGAGGAUUGUAACUUUCCAUGAAUUUUCCAUUUCUCACUCAACGACGGAACUUUGCUUAUUUCUUUUUUUGAGGAUCGACGAAUCAAAUGAUAUUUUUGUUCCAAUUUUUGCCUCUUCUUCUCCCUAUGAAUCAAACUUUUCUUUGCCAUAAUGGUUCAGUUCCUAUUAUUAUCAAUGAUACAAGUCGGAUCCUAGAUGUAGAAAUAGAAGGGGGCAUACCCCCUACUCCAUCGAAAGAGAUGAUAUUAUCACAGAUACAGCGCAUAACAUAAGGAAUUAACCAAAUUUGCCCGAUGUAGAGGCAAUCAAGAAAGCCGCAUAAGUAAAUAUAUAACCUACAGAAAAGUGGGCUAAUCCAACCAAUCUUGCCUGCACAAUAGAAAGAGCCACUGGUUUAUCUCUCCAUCGAAUCAAAUUAGCUAAAGGUGUGCGUUCAUGAGCCCAUGCUAAAGUUUCAAUCAAUUCUUGCCAAUAUCCACGCCAAGAAAUUAAGAACAUAAAUCCGGUAGCCCAAACAAGAUGUCCAAAUAAGAACAUCCACGCCCAGACUGAUAAACUAUUCAUACCAAAUGGGUUAUACCCAUUGAUGUAUUUUAAAAAUUUUAUCUGUCGGGACUGACGGGGCACGAACCCGCAGCUUCCGCCUUGACAGGACGGUGCUCUGACCAAUUGAACUACAAUCCCAGGGAAAUAAAGAAAAGCGUACAACAUAGAUAGUCUUACGAUUUCAUUCAAGCCAUUCUCUAUUUAGAUUUUAGAUUCGAAGCCGGGUUGUAACAAACAAAGGCGCGAGUGAUAUAUUGAUAUCCAUACGGGUAUGCACUUUGAGUGAGAGCGACGAGGAUUCCUAGUUACUAGGAAUCCUUUCGUUAUUGCCAAAUAAAUCGAUCAAUAAUCAAUUUGAAAACAAAAAAGAGUCUUCUUUUUUGUUUACUUUACUCCUUUUCUUUUCAUUAAACUUUCUAUUUAAUGAUCCUGAUAUGAAUCUAGAGCAUUAUCAAGGUCAUAAUUUAUGGGAACAACUAAAUAAAUAGAACAAAAUAAAAAACAAAUAGCGGUAGGGAUGGAUAUAUCACAAAAUUGGACUUUUUUUAUUCUUCCCUAAUUUUUUUGUUUGGCUUUUCGGGAAAACAAAAUACAAAAAAUGGGCAUUUUAGGUUAUGGCGGAUCAGCGAAUUAUUGGGCCGAGCUGGAUUUGAACCAGCGUAGACAUAUUGCCAACGAAUUUACAGUCCGUCCCCAUUAACCGCUCGGGCAUCGACCCAGGAAGAAUCAAUUCUAGGUUUAUUGAUAAUCCAUGAUCAACUUCCUUUCGUAGUACCCUACCCCCAGGGGAAGUCGAAUCCCCGCUGCCUCCUUGAAAGAGAGGUGUCCUGAACCGCUAGACGAUGGGGGCAUACUUGCCUGACCGCGACCAUACUAUGCUCAUAGUAUGAACAGUUUUUUGAAAUUGUCAAUAUAAUGGAAUGACUAGAGCCGAAAGCUUUUUCCAUCUUUUAUGAUUUUCCAUAUUUUAUUCACGAUUUAUACUCAGUAAAUCAUUCAUUUUAAUCGCCACUCUAUUCGAUAUAGAAAUAAAUUAGAUAAAUUCAAUCUAUUAUAUAAAUAUUUAUUAGAAAUAAAUAGAUAUUAUAAAAAGAAACUAGAUUAAUAAUACAAAGUAUAAGAUCAGUGAUUGGUUUAACAUAAACAUAAAAAAGGGAGUUAACCUUCAUUUUUUCCACUUUCAUUCAUUGAUUCACUCAUUAUUACGACGAGACAGGCAUGUUUCUAUCUCACACUAAGCCGGUAAAUUAACAAAAAGUAAAUCGGGAAUUUUUGGAAGAGGCAGCAAGAAGUUAUCAAAAAUUAUGUGUGUGUUUUUUUUCUAAAAAUUGGGUUCGGUGGACAAAGCAAAUCCCUUCAUCACAUGUUUCGAUAAACUAGAUUGGAUCUAUGUCGAAUUGCUAAGGUACAUGUAUUAAUCAAAUAAAUGAAUUUCGUUCUGUUCUGAUAAGCCAAUUAUGAUUGGCCUUGAAACAGUUUAUUGCAUUGAUACAAACCCAAUAUCAAUAAAACCAUUUUACCCUCUACACGUUAAGUAAAUUAGAAUUCUCAUUCCUAAGAGCUACUAGCCACUAUGAGUCUACUGCAUAUACUUAUAUAUAUAAAUAGAUCUUAUCCGUCUACUGAUUCAUUCAGUAAUUGAGUCAAACCGCCCUUUUAACUCAGUGGUAGAGUAAUGCCAUGGUAAGGCGUAAGUCAUCGGUUCAAAUCCGAUAAGGGGCUUUUGACUUUUUUUUUCAUAAAACUCCUAUAAAAUGGUAGUAUUCAUAUUGAAACAUAAGGAUGUUGUUUUUAUUGGUAAUAAAAACCCAACUGUAUAUGUAUAAUAAUUGAGUUAGAAAUUGUAUAAUUUAACUCUAAUAAGUUAUUAUUCUAAUGAGUUAGAGUAGAGGAAUUCUAAAAGAAAGUUGAAAUUAUAAUGAAUAAUGAUAAGCCGUCUCUUGAAGCGACAAAUAUAUAUUUUGUUUUGAUUUUGAAUUAGAUUAUUCCAAUCAAAUCCAUUGUAAAGAAUUGUAAAGAUUAGAAAUCAACAAAAGAAAAAGUAAGUGGAUCUAACCCAUUGAAUCGUGACUAUAUCCACUAUUCUGAUAUUAAAAUUCGAUAGAGAUGAAAUUGGAACAGUCGAUUUCUUUUUAUUUCAUAUUUAUUUGGACUCCACAAGAAUCUGUCGAUAUUUCCGAUUCAAUCUUCUUGUUCCUAGGAAUAAAUUAAUAUUCUAUUCCUUUCUAGAUAAAGAGAAACAUUUAUUUCAAGUUACAACCUAAGAGCCUUUUUCAACAUCUUAUCUUUCUUUGAUUCCAGAACACAACAAGAUCCAUCUCUAUCUAUAUAUUCUAUCUAUUCUAUAAUAGAUAGAAACCUAAAUCAAAUCAUGUCUUCACAUAUCAAAUAUUUCCAUAUCGAUACAUAUGACACUUUUGUUCUGCCAAUGUGAUGGAGAGUGAGUGCGAAAAAGAAACUUUCAUUUUGAGUCUCCUAUUAUUUAAUUUAAUAUUAUUAAAUAUUGUAUUAGAUUGAAAAAUAGGAACUUCGAAUCUUUUUCUAUUUACUUUAUGUAUAUCAGAAAAAGAUUCGAAGUGGAUUUCUCGACCCGUGAAAUGAAAAACUAGCCUAUGGAGUUUUUUUGUUUUAUAUUCAUCUGAAGGAAAUAUGAGAAAGAAAACAAUAAAUAAAAGAAAUAAAAUGAAGGAAAUAUAUAUCAGACUAUAGUAAUUUAAUACACAUAGAAAUUAUAAAAAUACAUAAAAAUAUUGAUUUUUAUCAAUUUCACGAACAAGAUCCAAGAAUAAGAUUAGUUGAUGGAGGGGGAGAGGUAGAUCUGGAGAUCAACCAGUAGCGAGAGAAGGGAUCGCUUCUUCCUUGAAUUGAAGAGUUCAUUCAAAAAAUUCAUCUAUCUGAUUGAUGAGCCAUAAGACAAUUCAUGGUUCAGACGACUAGUAAAAAUAGAAAAGAAUAAACGAAUUGAGUUCAUGGAUUUACCUAAGUCAGGUUAUGGACCAAUACAAGACAAUAUUUUUUUAUAUUCGAAACCAAUUAAUUAUAAGGNNNNNNNNNNNNNNNNNNNNNNNNNNNNNNNNNNNNNNNNNNNNNNNNNNNNNNNNNNNNNNNNNNNNNNNNNNNNNNNNNNNNNNNNNNNNNNNNNNNNNNNNNNNNNNNNNNNNNNNNNNNNNNNNNNNNNNNNNNNNNNNNNNNNNNNNNNNNNNNNNNNNNNNNNNNNNNNNNNNNNNNNNNNNNNNNNNNNNNNNNNNNNNNNNNNNNNNNNNNNNNNNNNNNNNNNNNNNNNNNNNNNNNNNNNNNNNNNNNNNNNNNNNNNNNNNNNNNNNNNNNNNNNNNNNNNNNNNNNNNNNNNNNNNNNNNNNNNNNNNNNNNNNNNNNNNNNNNNNNNNNNNNNNNNNNNNNNNNNNNNNNNNNNNNNNNNNNNNNNNNNNNNNNNNNNNNNNNNNNNNNNNNNNNNNNNNNNNNNNNNNNNNNNNNNNNNNNNNNNNNNNNNNNNNNNNNNNNNNNNNNNNNNNNNNNNNNNNNNNNNNNNNNNNNNNNNNNNNNNNAUAGAUCUGCUUCUCUUUUUCUUCUGAGCCGAAUUCUCGUAAUUCUAAUGGAAUAGAACAAAUAUUAAUCCUUUCUCCGAAAGAAUCCAUCGAAAAGGGGAGGUAUUCCAAUGCAAUAAAGUACAGUGUCUAUUGUUCGUGAUAAAGGGGUAUUUCCAUGGGUUUCCCUUGGUAUCGUGUUCAUACUGUCGUAUUGAAUGAUCCCGGUCGCUUGCUUUCUGUUCAUAUAAUGCAUACGGCUCUGGUUGCUGGUUGGGCCGGUUCAAUGGCUCUAUAUGAAUUAGCCGUUUUUGAUCCCUCCGAUCCCGUUCUUGAUCCAAUGUGGAGACAAGGUAUGUUCGUUAUACCCUUCAUGACUCGUUUAGGAAUAACCAAUUCAUGGGGCGGUUGGAGUUUACAGGGGGACUAUAACACAUUCGGGUAUUUGGAGUUACGAAGGUGGUGGCCGAGCACAUAUUGUGUGUUUUCUGGCUUGUGCUUUCUUGGCAGCUAUUUGGCAUUGGUAUAUUGGGAUCUAGAAAUUUUUUGUGAUGAGCGCACAGGAAAACCUUCUUUGGAUUUGCCCAAGAUUUUGGAAUUCAUUUAUUUCUCUCAGGAGUGGCUUGCUUUGGCUUUGGCGCAUUUCAUGUAACAGGAUUGUAUGGUCCUGGAAUAUUGGGUGUCAGGACCUUAUGGACUAACUGGCAAGGUCCAACCUGUAAAUCCGGCGUGGGCGUGGAAGGUUUUGAUCCUUUGUUCCGGGAGGAAUAGCCUCUCAUCAUAUUGCAGCAGGGACAUUGGGCAUAUUAGCGGGCUUAUUCCAUCUUAGUGUCCGCCUGCCCCAACUGUUUAUACAAAGGAUUACGUAUGGGAAAUAUUGAAACCGUCCUUUCUAGUAGUAUAGCUGCUGUCUUUUUUGCAGCUUUUGUUGUUGCCGGAACUAUGUGGUAUGGUUCAGCAAUUACCCCCAUCGAAUUAUUUGGUCCUACUCGUUAUCAAUGGGAUCAAGGAUACUUCCAGCAAGAAAUAUAUCGAAGGGUUAGUGCUGGGUUAGCCGAAAAUGAAAGUUUAUCAGAAGCUUGGUCUAAAAUUCCUGAAAAAUUAGCUUUUUAUGAUUAUAUUGGCAAUAAUCCGGCAAAAGGAGGAUUAUUCAGAGCGGGUUCAAUGGACAACGGGGAUGGAAUAGCCGUUAGGUGGUUAGGGCACCCUAUCUGUAGAGAUAAAGACGGGCGUGAACUUUUGUACGUCGUAUGCCUACUUUUUUUGAAACAUUUCUGGUUGUUUUGGUAGACGGUGACGGAAUUGUUAGAGCGGAUGUCCUUUUAGAAGGGCAGAAUCAAAGUAUAGUGUCGAACAACUAGGUGUAACUGUUGAGUUCUAUGGCGGCGAACUCAAUGGAGUGAGUUAUAGUGAUCCUGCUACUGUGAAAAAAUAUGCUAGACGUGCUCAAUUGGGUGAAAUUUUUGAAUUAGAUCGUGCUACUUUGAAAUCCGAUGGUGUUUUUCGUAGCAGUCCGAGGGGUUGGUUUACUUUUGGGCAUGCUUCGUUUGCCUUGCUUUUCUUUUUCGGACACAUUUGGCAUGGUGCUAGAACCCUAUUCAGAGAUGUUUUUGCCGGUAUUGAUCCAGAUUUGGAUGCUCAAGUGGAAUUUGGAGCAUUCCAAAAACUUGGAGAUCCAACUACAAGAAGACAAGUAGUCUGAUGCAAGAUUGCUUUGUUAUUUUUCGCUUCUACUUCUAUUUGUGAUUUGCCAUAGGCUGCUGGAAAAAUCUUGAUUUAAAUCGCUGCCUUUUCUUUGAUUCUUGUCUUUCUUUAUUUUAUUCGGGAGAUGAUUCCAAAUAAACAGGUACGAAAGCUAUAAUUGUAAACCACGAUCAAUUUAUGGAAGCAUUGGUUUAUACAUUCCUCUUAGUAUCUACUCUAGGGAUAAAUUUUUUCGCUAUCUUUUUUCGAGAAUCGCCUAAAAUUCUAACUAAAAAAAUGAAAUGAUUUUUCAUUAUCUCAAUUGAAGUAAUGAGCCUCCCAAUAUUGGGAGGCUCAUUACUUCAAUUAGUCCCCGUGUUCCUCGAAUGGAUCUCUUAAUUGUUGAGAGGGUUGCCCAAAAGUAGUAUAUAAGGCGUACCCAGUAAAACUUACAAGUAAACCAGAUAUAGAGAUGGCGACUAAGGUUGCUGUUUCCAUUAUUAUAUAAUUUCAAGAUCACAAUGGGUCUAUGAUAAGAUUGUUUAUUUACAGCGGAAUGAUAUACAAAGUCAACAGAUCUCACUGAAUACAAAAUUAGAUUUAUGGCUACACAAACCGUUGAGGGUAGUUCUAGAUCUGGUCCAAGACGAACUGUUGUAGGGGAUUUUUUGAAACCAUUGAAUUCGGAAUAUGGUAAGGUAGCCCCUGGAUAGGGAACGACUCCUUUGAUGGGUGUCGCAAUGGCUUUAUUUGCGAUAUUCUUAUCUAUUAUUUUGGAGAUUUAUAAUUCUUCCGUUUUACUGGAUGGAAUUUCAAUGAAUUAGAUUCACAAGAAUCACGAAGCCUCGCUUUUCAAUACAAAAAGUGAAACUUUUAGUUCUCGGAUUUUUUUAGCCCCAUUCUAUUUCGGUAGUUCGACCGCGAAAUUUAUUUGUUUCUGUAUUUUCGGAAUAUGAGUGUGUGACUUGUUAUAAUUGAUCCUAUUGAUAGUACAGAAAAUAGGUCUGUCAUCUUGAUCGAGAUAGUUUUAUCCCGUCGGAUAGUCAUUCUAGUAUCUGGAGCACGGAAUAUAUGAAAGGAUCACAAAGUAUUUGAACUAUGAUUCAUACUUAAUAUUCAAACCUCACGGCCGGACUCAAAAAAAAAUUCAAAGAAAGAGUUAUAUUAUUUAUAAAUCGAAAGAUUUUUUAUUCUUUCAAAAUCUCAUUUAGUUUAUGCUUAUUUUGAUCAAAGGACAAACCUUUCUUUUCUUUGUAUUUUUUAUUAUAUCUAUUCUAUUGAUUGAAUAAGUGAUGAUCCAAUGGUUCUUACUCAAAGAAUCUUUGGACUUAGUUUGAAGGUUUUAUUGAAUCAUCGCGGUUCUGGUAUGAAUCUGAAGUUUCAAUUGAUUCAUAGGGUCUUAACAAGAGAAUUCCUAUCAAAAAGAAAGAAAACAAGAAUAAAGCCACAUUUCAUACAAAGUACAAAUCAAAGCAAAGAAAAAGAAAUAAGUAGGUAAAUAGAAGAUUCAAGAGGCCUGUAACGAUCAACAUAAAGACGACUGCGCCGACUUGAUUUUUUGGCAUUAUAAUUACAACUACAAAAAAGAGCUUUCGGAUUUUCACUCUUUUGUGUCUUCAGAUAAAAUUGAAUGAAAAGAUUAAGAAGUUUCAAACUUUCUAUUCCAUAUCCGUUUCAGCUAUUACUUGGGUGUUUUUGUUUGAGCUGUACGAGAUGAAAUUCUCAUAUACGGUUCUCGGGGGGGGUCCUCUUGGUUUACCUAUCUCAAUAAAGUCUAUGAUUGGUUCGAAGAGCGCCUCGAAAUUCAGGCGAUUGCAGAUGAUAUAACUAGUAAAUAUGUUCCUCCUCAUGUUAACAUAUUUUAUUGUCUAGGGGGAAUUACGCUUACUUGUUUUUUGGUACAAGUAGCUACAGGAUUUGCUAUGACUUUUUACUAUCGUCCAACCGUUACUGAGGCUUUUGCUUCUGUUCAAUACAUAAUGACUGAAGCUAACUUUGGUUGGUUAAUCCAAUCAGUUCAUCGAUGGUCGGCAAGUAUGAUGGUCUUAAUGAUGAUCCUGCACGUAUUUCGUGUCUAUCUCACUGGUGGUUUUAAAAAACCUCGCGAAUUAACUUGGGUUACAGGCGUGGUUCUGGCUGUGUUGACCGCAUCUUUUGGUGUAACAGGUUAUUCCUUACCUCAGGACCAAGUUGGUUAUUGGGCAGUCAAAAUCGUAACAGGCGUUCCGGACGCUAUUCCGGUAAUAGGAUCGCCUUUGGUAGAGUUAUUACGUGGAAGUGCUAGUGUGGGACAAUCCACUUUGACCCGUUUUUAUAGUUUACACACUUUUGUAUUACCCCUUCUUACUGCUGUAUUUAUGUUAAUGCAUUUCCUAAUGAUACGUAAGCAAGGCAUUUCUGGUCCUUUAUAGAGAAUAUAGACCAUAGCUAUAUUGUAACCAAUAAUUUAUCUUAUUACUUGGGGGAGGAACAAUAGUAUUUCAUUGCUACAAAUAUGGAUUAUUGAAAAAAAUAAGACAUGUAUUUGGAUAUUUCCUUUCAACUACAACAAUAUUCUAUUAUUUAUUUGAUAUGACAUGAAUAGUUGAAGGGAAUUCCCCGAAGAGAAAAUGGAUUAUGGGAGUGUGUGACUUGAACUAUUGAUUGGGCCGUGCAGAAAUAUGCCUUUAUCUGCUACAUUGGAAUUCACAACCAAAUGUGUCUUUGUUUCAACCACCGUGUAAGCCCCAUACAAAGGAUAGGCUGGUUCGCUUGAAGAGAAUCUUUUCUAUGAUCAGACCUGACGAUGUUGUGUAUAAAUAGGGCUCCGUAAGAUCCAGUAGAAUAAGUGAUUUGGCAUAAUCCAAAUUAGAUUUUAGUUUUUCUUUUUACUUUCUUAUCUUAAUAGUAUGAAAAUGCAUUCAUUUCUUUUGCAUCGACCCCAUUUAAUUAUACUAUCAGAGUGAAACAAGGGAUCUAAAGAAGAGCAAAGGCUAGACUAUAUUAGUAACAAGUAAAUCCUUUGUAUGUAAAAAAUCUCGAUAUAUUUUUGGGAUAAAGGUGAAUCGCAAGGCCUAAGAUGACCCAUAAAGCACUUAAUCACGAUCAACUUUGUACGCCUACUUGGGUAUUGAGCAUUUACCUGUAAAAAUGAAAUUCCUUGGAAUGUAUAAUUGUAACUCCGUAAAAUGGAAUCGGGUACCUUUUUUCUUACAUACGGAACCAUUCAUAUAUGUGGGGAUAACAUAUAGAUUUAUUUUAAACACAUAGAAUAUAGAUUUAUUUUAUAGGUAUCCGUUUGUAUCCAUUUGAUUCGAUUGACUUUUGCUUGAGCCGGAUGAUGAAAAAUUAUCAUGUCCGGUUCCUUUGGGGGAUGGAUCUAGAAAAAUUCACCUAUCCUAAUAACAAAAAAACCUGACUUGAACGAUCCUGUAUUAAGAGCUAAAUUAGCUAAAGGUAUGGGUCAUAAUUAUUAUGGGGAACCCGCAUGGCCCAAUGAUCUUUUAUAUAUUUUUCCAGUAGUAAUUCUCGGUACUAUUGCUUGUAAUGUGGGCUUAGCGGUUCUAGAACCUUCAAUGAUUGGUGAACCCGCGGAUCCAUUUGCAACUCCUUUGGAAAUAUUACCUGAAUGGUAUUUCUUUCCUGUAUUUCAAAUACUUCGUACAGUACCUAACAAGUUAUUGGGUGUUCUUUUAAUGGUUUCAGUACCCGCGAGAUUAUUAACAGUACCAUUUUUGGAAAAUGUUAAUAAAUUCCAAAAUCCAUUUCGUCGUCCAGUAGCGACAACCAUUUUUUUGAUUGGUACUGCAGUAGCCCUUUGGUUGGGUAUUGGAGCAACAUUACCGAUUGAUAAAUCCCUAACUUUAGGUCUUUUUUAAAUUGAAUCAAUUAAAAAAAAUAUCAUGAUGUGCGUAUCUAGGGAGUAGUCACUUCAAAGGAAAAGUGAAUUCUCCCUAGAUACAUUUAUUCAAUUCUGGUCCGAAUCUAUGGAUUGUGCUGAAGGUUCAAAAUCCAUUGGAUUCAAACUUUUGAUAAAUCAAUUUCGAAAUGCUUUUUCUACUUCUUUUCUAGAAUGCCCAGUAUUUGUUUUACAUCUUCUAUGCGAAAGUGUUCAAUUUUCAUAAGGUCUUCUCAACUGUUAUUCAAAAGGUCCAAUAAUGUAUGUAUAUUGGACUUUUUGAGACAAUUAUAGAUCCUGGGAGGCAAUUCUGAUUGGUCAAUAAAAAUCGAUUUCAAUGCUAUUUCUUUUUUCUUUUUUGUUAGUUUAACUAAUCUAUCAUGAAACGGAAAAAAAGGUAAAGUAACAUCGUGUUGAUUGUUUUCUAAAUGGAAGUUUUCUUCUUCCGCAUGUAGAAAAGGAAUAAAUAAAUCAAUCAAAUUGCGAGAGGCUUCAUGAAGUGCUUCUUUCGGAGUUAAACUUCCAUUUGUCCAUAUUUCUAGAAAAAGUAUCUCCUGUUUUUCAUUAUCAUUCCCAUAACAAUGAAUACUAUGAUUCGCAUUUCGAACAGGCAUGAAUACAGCAUCUAUAGGAUAACUUCCGCCGUGAAAGUUCUUUGGCGUUUUUAUACCGUAUCCUCUAUUUCUCUCGAUUUGUAAUCCAAUACACAAAUCAAUUGGUUCGGUUAGGCUGGCUACAUGCUGUGUAUUAUCAACGAUUUCCACAGAAGGUGGUAAGAUGAUGUCUUGAGCAGUUACAUAUCCGGGACCCUUGGCACAAAUAAAGGCGUUACGAGUUCCAUACAAAUUCCCUCUCAAUACAAUUUCUUUCAAAUUCAUUAAAAUUUCAUGGACUGAUUCUUGAAUACCUACUAUGGUAGAAUAUUCGUGGGGUAUUUUCUCAGAUUUUGCACGUGUAAUGCAUGUUCCUUCUAGUUCUCCAAGCAAAGCUCUUCGCAUCGCAAUGCCUAUUGUGUCGGCUUGGCCUUUCAUAAGUGGAGACAGAAUAAAGCGUCCAUAAUAAAAGGCGCUUACUAUAUGUUCUUGAUUCAACACACUUCCACUGUCGUGUCCGAGUCGAAGUAGAGACUUUUACUUUCUCUCGAACCAUAGUAAUAUUAUUUUAUUUGAUCAGAUCAUUGAAUCAUUUAUUUCUUGAAUCUAUCCAUUCUGGAUCCAAAAAUGACCCCUCCCACGAAUUUUUCAGAUUUUGAGACACAUUCAAUAAUAUAGAAGUAUAAGUUGCCAAAAUGAAAAUAAAAAAAAAUUAGAGGGGGGUCAGUCAAACUUCUGUAAUCUGUAAUGUAACUUGAAUGAAAUAAAUAGAAUUUGAAUGAUGAAUGAAAAGAAAAUAAUAAAAUCGAAAUCAUAAUAAAAAAAAUGAAAUUCUAAAUAAUUAAAUUAAAUUAUUAAUUUUUCUAUUUAACUUUAACUUAAAUUAAAUAAUAAUAACUUAAAUUAAAUAAUAAAAAAUUCUAAAUAGACUAAAUAUAAAUAAUAACUAAAUAAUAACUAAAUAGAAAUAAUAUAUAUAAUAAUAUUAUAAGAAUAAUAUAAUAAUAGAUAAUAAUAGAUAAUACAAUAAUAGAUAGAAUAAUAAAAUAAAUAAUAUAGAAAUAUAGAUUUAUAAAUCGAAAUAUAUUAAUAUAAAUAUAAUAAUAUAAAUAUUAUUAAUUACUUAAUAUUAAUAACAAAUAAUAUAAAUUAAUAUUAAUUGCUAAUAACUUGUAAUUUGAUUAUUUGAUAAGCAUUUGAAUUGUUAUAUAAUUUCGAUUGUUAAUUGGUUUAGUAGUGGAAUUUGAUAAAAUCGCCCUGAACUGAAGAAAGUAUCUAUCCUAGCUCUGACCAAAUAUUCUUUCGUAUCAAGAAUCAAGAACGAAAAUGCGGAUAUAGUCCAAUGGUAAAAUUUCUCUUUGCCAAAGAGAAGACGUGGGUUCGAUUCCCGCUAUCCGCCCAGAGCAAUGUAUUUAAGAUAAGAGGAUAAAAGAUUCGUUAUAGUUGACUGUAAAUAGUUGACUGGAAUUGGAAUAUAAUACACCCCCUAAAAGAAAAAAUGACUAGUUAAUAGGGUCAAGUCUAAUUUUUUUUGUCAAAAAAAUGUAAUGUUGCGGGAACGGGAUUUGAACCCAUGACCUCAAGGUUAUGAGCCUUGCGAGCUACCAAACUGCUUUAUCCCGUGAUGAAAAGAAACCAAACUAAUGGACAAACAAAGAUUGAAUGCGCCCCUCUUCCAUAUAUGUACAAAUAGAAUAGCCUAUUUAUACAGAAUGGUAAAGGGGCCCCUCUAUGAUCAUCGAUCAUAGAAAUAAAUAGAAAAGGGAAGGGAUAUUUUAAUCCUUACCAACUUGAUCUUGUUGCCCCCGGCAACAAACAUGCAUGAACCAUUUCACGAAGUAUGUGUCCGAAUAGUCGAAAGUCUCGAUAGUUAGCUCUCGGUCUUCCGGUCGAAAAGCAACGUCGAUGAAGACGUGUGGGUGCGCUAUUUCGUGGUGAGGAUUGUAACUUUCCAUGAAUUUUCCAUUUCUCACUCAACGACGGAACUUUGCUUAUUUCUUUUUUUGAGGAUCGACGAAUCAAAUGAUAUUUUUGUUCCAAUUUUUGCCUCUUCUUCUCCCUAUGAAUCAAACUUUUCUUUGCCAUAAUGGUUCAGUUCCUAUUAUUAUCAAUGAUACAAGUCGGAUCCUAGAUGUAGAAAUAGAAGGGGGCAUACCCCCCUACUCCAUCGAAAGAGAUGAUAUUAUCACAGAUACAGCGCAUAACAUAAGGAAUUAACCAAAUUUGCCCGAUGUAGAGGCAAUCAAGAAAGCCGCAUAAGUAAAUAUAUAACCUACAGAAAAGUGGGCUAAUCCAACCAAUCUUGCCUGCACAAUAGAAAGAGCCACUGGUUUAUCUCUCCAUCGAAUCAAAUUAGCUAAAGGUGUGCGUUCAUGAGCCCAUGCUAAAGUUUCAAUCAAUUCUUGCCAAUAUCCACGCCAAGAAAUUAAGAACAUAAAUCCGGUAGCCCAAACAAGAUGUCCAAAUAAGAACAUCCACGCCCAGACUGAUAAACUAUUCAUACCAAAUGGGUUAUACCCAUUGAUGUAUUUUAAAAAUUUUAUCUGUCGGGACUGACGGGGCACGAACCCGCAGCUUCCGCCUUGACAGGACGGUGCUCUGACCAAUUGAACUACAAUCCCAGGGAAAUAAAGAAAAGCGUACAACAUAGAUAGUCUUACGAUUUCAUUCAAGCCAUUCUCUAUUUAGAUUUUAGAUUCGAAGCCGGGUUGUAACAAACAAAGGCGCGAGUGAUAUAUUGAUAUCCAUACGGGUAUGCACUUUGAGUGAGAGCGACGAGGAUUCCUAGUUACUAGGAAUCCUUUCGUUAUUGCCAAAUAAAUCGAUCAAUAAUCAAUUUGAAAACAAAAAAGAGUCUUCUUUUUUGUUUACUUUACUCCUUUUCUUUUCAUUAAACUUUCUAUUUAAUGAUCCUGAUAUGAAUCUAGAGCAUUAUCAAGGUCAUAAUUUAUGGGAACAACUAAAUAAAUAGAACAAAAUAAAAAACAAAUAGCGGUAGGGAUGGAUAUAUCACAAAAUUGGACUUUUUUUAUUCUUCCCUAAUUUUUUUGUUUGGAUUUUCGGGAAAACAAAAUACAAAAAAAUGGGCAUUUUAGGUUAUGGCGGAUCAGCGAAUUAUUGGGCCGAGCUGGAUUUGAACCAGCGUAGACAUAUUGCCAACGAAUUUACAGUCCGUCCCCAUUAACCGCUCGGGCAUCGACCCAGGAAGAAUCAAUUCUAGGUUUAUUGAUAAUCCAUGAUCAACUUCCUUUCGUAGUACCCUACCCCCAGGGGAAGUCGAAUCCCCGCUGCCUCCUUGAAAGAGAGGUGUCCUGAACCGCUAGACGAUGGGGGCAUACUUGCCUGACCGCGACCAUACUAUGCUCAUAGUAUGAACAGUUUUUUGAAAUUGUCAAUAUAAUGGAAUGACUAGAGCCGAAAGCUUUUUCCAUCUUUUAUGAUUUUCCAUAUUUUAUUCACGAUUUAUACUCAGUAAAUCAUUCAUUUUAAUCGCCACUCUAUUCGAUAUAGAAAUAAAUUAGAUAAAUUCAAUCUAUUAUAUAAAUAUUUAUUAGAAAUAAAUAGAUAUUAUAAAAAGAAACUAGAUUAAUAAUACAAAGUAUAAGAUCAGUGAUUGGUUUAACAUAAACAUAAAAAAGGGAGUUAACCUUCAUUUUUUCCACUUUCAUUCAUUGAUUCACUCAUUAUUACGACGAGACAGGCAUGUUUCUAUCUCACACUAAGCCGGUAAAUUAACAAAAAGUAAAUCGGGAAUUUUUGGAAGAGGCAGCAAGAAGUUAUCAAAAAUUAUGUGUGUGUUUUUUUUCUAAAAAUUGGGUUCGGUGGACAAAGCAAAUCCCUUCAUCACAUGUUUCGAUAAACUAGAUUGGAUCUAUGUCGAAUUUCUAAGGUACAUGUAUUAAUCAAAUAAAUGAAUUUCGUUCUGUUCUGAUAAGCCAAUUAUGAUUGGCCUUGAAACAGUUUAUUGCAUUGAUACAAACCCAAUAUCAAUAAAACCAUUUUACCCUCUACAUGUUAAGUAAAUUAGAAUUCUCAUUCCUAAGAGCUACUAGCCACUAUGAGUCUACUGCAUAUACUUAUAUAUAUAAAUAGAUCUUAUCCGUCUACUGAUUCAUUCAGUAAUUGAGUCGAACUGCCCUUUUAACUCAGUGGUAGAGUAAUGCCAUGGUAAGGCGUAAGUCAUCAGUUCAAAUCCGAUAAGGGGCUUUUGACUUUUUUUUCAUAAAACUCCUAUAAAAUGGUAGUAUUCAUAUUGAAACAUAAGGAUGUUGUUUUUAUUGGUAAUAAAAACCCAACUGUAUAUGUAUAAUAAUUGAGUUAGAAAUUGUAUAAUUUAACUCUAAUAAGUUAUUAUUCUAAUGAGUUAGAGUAGAGGAAUUCUAAAAGAAAGUUGAAAUUAUAAUGAAUAAUGAUAAGCCGUCUCUUGAAGCGACAAAUAUAUAUUUUGUUUUGAUUUUGAAUUAGAUUAUUCCAAUCAAAUCCAUUGUAAAGAAUUGUAAAGAUUAGAAAUCAACAAAAGAAAAAGUAAGUGGAUCUAACCCAUUGAAUCGUGACUAUAUCCACUAUUCUGAUAUUAAAAUUCGAUAGAGAUGAAAUUGGAACAGUCGAUUUCUUUUUAUUUCAUAUUUAUUUGGACUCCACAAGA